GAAGUUAGUGUUGAACUCUCUGACCAGAGCUUUAAGGUUCAUGUUGAAAGGUUCAACUGCUUUGUUCACUUCAGCGGCACAGCCCAUACCACCAGCAUGGGAGGCGAUCAUCCGCGGGGUGCACCCUAUCCUACUGACCCCAAACAAAGCAACCUUCCUUGCUCCUUGGACAUACAACAACUUAUACAAAAACAAAUGUCUCUAAUUAAUCGGUUUAUAGAUAAUUAACUAGGAGUAAAAUUUGUAGAGAUAUAUCCAAUACUCUGCAUCAUGUUUUAUAUGGAAAUUAAUCAACUAUUUAUAAUGUCAAAAGUUAUUUCAAUGAAAUAUGAAGGUUUAUAAUUCCUUUAUUAAUUUUCUUUUCAAAACCUUGGGUAAUAUUACCUUCAGUAAAGAGCGAUAAUGUCGAAUGAGGGAAUCAGCAAAUUGAUCGUAAGUGUACUUGCGUUGUGUAUUGUACUUAUCACCUUGCAUGAAGUAGUUGUUAAGAUAAUCAUUGCUUCCUAUAUUAAUAGUGUAUAGACAUUGCUUCAGCUUCUCCGGGGGCACGUUUGCAGUCAUAAUCGCCGUCCGGUGGUUCUUGAUUUGCGUUUUAAAACUGAUUCUAUCACCCUAUCGUAAGAAAUAUCAUAAUGCGUAAGUAAUUAAUUUAAGUGUUUAAACACAAAAAAUACAAAUAAGCGAGUCAUAUUUAGGAUCCCUGCCAGAAAAAAGAGAAAAGAGAAAGCAAAUCAACAAAACCAAAUGAUUAUUUGCUUUAAAAAAAAAAUUAUUUAUAGUCACCUAAAACAUUUACAAAAUUAUUUGUGUAUAUUCAUUGGACAGGGAAUCACAACAUUUUAAAUUGUCUUUUUCUAAGUUAGGUUUGAAACCUCAAACUUUCAGAUACAAAAUCUCAAUUUACUAAGACUUAUUCUUAGGUCCACCCCCUAGGGUGAACCUCUAGGUUCACCAACCAAUAAGAUUGUCUUAUUUUAUAUUCGAUAUCUUUUAAAAAAAGAAACAAAAUAUUGUCAAAUUAUAUUAUGUUUUUAAAAUUAAAAGGUAAAAAAAAAAAUUACAAAAAAAAUAUUUUACGUCGUCAGCAUAACAUUAAACCCUAAACCCUAAAUUCUAAUCCCUAAACCCUUAAUCCUAAACCCUAAACCCUUGGAUAAACCCUAAACUGUAGGAUAAAUCUUAAACUCUAGGAUAAAUCCUUAACUCUAAAUCAAAAUCACUAUACACUAAAACAUUCAAGCGUUUUGGGUUUAGGGUUUUAAUCGUUUUUUAUUUAGAGUUUAGGAUUUAUCCAAGAGUUUAGGGUUUAUCCAAGGGUUUAGGGUUUACCCAAGGGUUUAGGGUUUAUGAUUUAAGGUUUAGGGAUUAGGAUUUAGGGUUUAGUGUUUUGUUGACAACAUUAAAAAUAUUUUUUUUUUUAAUUUUUUUUUUCUGUAACUAUUAUCUUUUUUUACUUUUUUAUUUUAAAAACAUAAUAUAAUUUGAGAAUAUUUUGUUUCCUUUUUUUAAAAGAUAUCGAAUUUGAAAUAAUGAAAUCUUAUUGGUUGGUGAACCUAGAGGUUCACCCUAGGGGGUGAACCCAAGAAUGACUCAUUUACUAAUUAGUUUCGUAUCAGCCAGACAUUAGAGCCACCAAAUGAGAACAUAUGAUCACUGCGCGUCUUUUGAAUCAGUAUUACUAAAUUUAGUAGUACGUUUAGGAAAGUUACUUAACCAUAUAUGUAGAUAUAGUAGUAUUGGUAAAAAUUAAAUACCCGAGGAAAAAUAAAGAUAUCUUUAUUUUGAUCUCUUUUGCUUCUAAAUUAUGUUCUUACCAGAUGGUAGCUAGUAUCUUCGAGAAUUCCCGCGCCGCCAGAAGCGUAAUUUAAACCGGUGUGAGCUUGUUCCGGCGAUGCUCCGGUGAAAGGUGGAAUGUAAUCACUGAAUCUCAUUAGUUCAGCUAAACACAACAUAAUUCAAACUCAUAUUAGACAAGAAACCAUAUACAAUACUUAUGAAUGAUAAACACAAUAACCUUUAAAAAAAGUAACAGAUUCACAAGAAACCAUUCACAAAAUUUGUUUUUUCCUUUUGGGAAAUUGAUUCUUAAAUACAUUAGGGCAUCAUUAGGCCAUGCUCAUCGUCAGUAAUUAGAUAAGAUAUGUAAACAAUAAAACAAUAUAAACUCAAAAAGUAAAAGUAUGAGAGGUAAGACAUUUUGAGACCCCCUCUGUCAUUUGAGAGGUCACAAGAAUAUUUUAAACUAUCUUUAAUGUAUUUUGCUAUUUUUUCUCUAAAAUAAAAAAAAAAACUUUAUAAUAAAGAUGAAAGAGUAGACGUCAAAAAAAAAAUAGAAAAAUGAGUAAUUUUUUUUAUUUUUAAGAAAUAAAGAUGAUUUAGAAUAAUUUUAUCCCUAAAUAUUAUUAUAAAGAUAAAUAUAACAGUGGGUGGAGAUGAUCUUAAGAAACUAUAGGGACACUUGUCAUCUUUUUAAAUCAUUAUUUUUGUCUAAAAUUAAAACUAAACAUAUUCAAAAGUAAUGAUAUUUAUUCAGAUCCUCAAGUAAGUAUCUCCAAUAUUGGAGUUGCUAUUAAUCAAUGAUAUUUAUCGCCAGAGACUCUGCAGAGUUUCAAAACAAAACAAAAAUUGAUGUUUUUAGAUUUUUAAACAAUGAAUGUCUAAAAACUAAGCAAAUGUUUUUUUUUCCAGAAGUGUUAUAUAUAGUCUCUCACGAAGAGAUCGUUUUGUGUGAUAUAGUCUCUCAACGGAGAGAUUUUCUUACCUUUCUCAUCCUUUUACUUCUCUUUUAUUUAUUUAUAUAUUUUGAGAAACUUUAAACCACCUAUGUGGGUGUGUGAUAAGCAAAACUUUAUUUAUCUACUUACAUAGUCUCUUAAUUUGCAUCUAUGACUGUUCUGCAUAACACUGUCUAGUUCUAAUGUUUGCAUUUCUUUUUAUGUUCCAUUGAAAAUAUCAGCUAAAAGAGAAAUGCCUACAUUCUAAACUUCCAGUUAGGCAAAGAAUACGUUAUGAUACGUUUGUCUUUUAUAGUUAAUAGUAUCUAUUAGUAAUUUCAUCGAAAACAUUUGGGCAAAGAAAUAAAACAAGCCAGGGACUAACCGAUAAAGUCGGGAAUAUUACGGCCAUUGCUGAACCGGCCCGUGGGACCUCUAGCUAAAUCCAUACCAUAAGGUGAAUGGUUAACUUUAGCGGAGGUGUUCAAGUCAUUGUUGUUACCGUUGUCGAAAACUGAGUCUCCGAAAACGAAAUAGCAAGGCACGCGCUGUCCACGAGCCCCUUCGGCCAUUGCAAACACCAUUGCCGCUAAACCCCACAGCAAUACCUUGAACGUUCCCUCCGCCAUUUCUGAAAACCAAUUACUAGAAAUCUGAAAUGUGGCAACAUUGAAGAAAAGAGAAAAGUCUAUAUAUAUAACCCAUACAUAGGAAGAGACAGACAGAAAUAAAAUUCUAUUUCUAGUCUAUUCAUUAGAAGAGAUAGUCAGUUAAUUACGGAUGUUAAUUAAUUUAUUUUUAAAAGUAUCUUUAAUAGUCAACUUGCACGUGAGUUGUAAUGAGAAAAAUACAAGUCAUUUUGUCAAGAAAAACCCUCAUGGUGGUGUUAUAUGGUAACAUAUUAUUAGUCUUUUAUCAAAAAAAAAAAAAACCCUCAUGGUGUUUUUGAAGAGUAUUUAGUAAUUUUGUUUCAAUUCAAGUCUGAUACGUAUAGAGGAUGGAGGGGGUCAGCCGACCGCACCUAAUUUAUAAAAUAUAAGUUUUUCUUUCAUAAAAAAAUAUUAUGACACCACCAAAUUUUAUAGUUUGACCCCAUAAAAAUAAAAAAAUAUGAAAACAAAAGCUUAAUUUAGCUGGGUAAUUAAUAAUUAGAGACUUGAACUCAUAUUUUAUUUCAAUUUUAUGCUUAUUUAUAAUUUAAAUUCACUUCAAAUACAAUAUAAAUAUUACAAAAUUGUAAAAUCUCAUAUAACUAUUAAUUUAUUACAUUUAAUUGUAUAAAUAGAACACAGUUUUUUGUAACGGAAAUAGAUCACAUUUUACAAUAAAAAUUAGUUUUUAAAGUCUCGACUCUCGACGCUUUGGCCGUUUGACAAUGUUAGUUAAUUGUCAUGAUAACUUCUACAACUUGCUGUCGUUUGUUUCUUUGGUUAAAGUUCACACACAUUCAUGGAUACCAUAAUCUAGGGAUUUGGUUACAAUUGUUUUUCCUAUAUGCAAAAAAAAACAAAACAAAACGAUAACAGAUAUAAGACUGUUAGAAACAACUACAAACCCUUGAUAAUAAGACGUGAAGACAAGAUAGUCAUCUCAGCUGAAGAAUGAAAAUUAUAAGUUGGAGUUGUUGCUUAAUUUUUUGUUGUAAUAGAGAGUUGAUUGCUGGAACAGUUUUCAAAGUCAAAUGAGUUUUAUAAAAAUUGAAUGACUUAGAAAAAUGGGUUAUCAAAUUAAUUUAUGAGAAAAUUUUAAAUGAUGUAUCGGCUAAGUGAAAAUGUAAACCUCCAACAAAGUUCAAUAGAUUUAGGCAACUAUAGAGAAUCAAUGAGAAAUUAUUAUAUAAAACUACACCACGUGGUUGUCCAAAAAAGGAAAAGGAAACAACCGCACACAUGCAUUAGUAAAAAAAACACACAAAUGCAUGUGCCACCGCUGAACUGAACCGAGUUUGAAUCUGCUUUUUUUUUUCUCUGAAAUCUGAUAUUUUAUAUAAUAACAAAGGUUUUUUACAAACAAAAACCCAAAAAGAAAAAGGAUCCUGGCCUACCAACAAGACCCAACUACAACACUAGAAAACCAAACACAGGCCCAUAUCCACUAACAAACAGAUGACGCAAAACAACGUGUUCAACUCAGGAGAAAAAAGAGACACGUGCAAAGACAAUAUCACCGUCUUCUUCCACCUGCGAAUCGUCGCUGCAACUGAACCAAAAGCCACCGGAAACCACCGGAAUCACACCGGAAACGCGAGCCACCAUCGAUUUCACCGACUUAAAAGUCGUUAUCGGAACAAACAGAUCACUUUAACUCCGGAAUCAACCGGGAACACGACCACAACCACCGAAAACCACAUCCAACGACUGUGUUGGAAGUUUUACGGAUUCAGCAUCUUUCCACACAUACGCCUAAGUUUUGGAUAGCAUCAAUCAAAUAAACUCAAGAUCUCAUCCAAACCCAGACCACCCAAUCACUAAAACGAAAAACGUCAUACAGCUCGAUCACUUCCGAGGAUUCGAUAGCCGGCAACCACCACCGAAGAAGAAACGGCACGGCCCCAGAAACAAAGCCAGUCAUCCACGAAACGAUCGGUGCGAUACUGGAACAGAAAAACCAAACAUACAGUACCGAAGAACCAACGAUACCGCAUGACGGACCGGAAACUAAACAAGAUAAACAGAACUGAAAUAAAAAGGAAGAAACCCGACCGACGACGUGGCUAAAGGAGCCCACCAUCGUCGGCCGAGAACUAUGCUCGGAGAUCGCUUAACUUUUUUUUCUCUCAACAAGGACAAUUAUGAGAGAGAGAGAGAGAUAGAUCUUCUAAAGCUGUCCUAACCGAGUUUGAAUCUGCUAAAUAUGAGCAUUCGACGAAAAAAUGGAAUAACUUACGAGAUAUCUUAGAUAUAUGAAAAAAACUCACAUUAGUUUUGUAAUAGGAGAUGUAGUCCACAAGAAUAAACCCACCUAAAUUUAUUCAAAUUUAUGAGGUGAAAUUGAUUCGAAUCCAGAUCAUUUAUCUUCUCAAAGUCUAUUCACCAUUAAACCACUUCCGUAUAGUUGAUUUGACAAUUUCUUAUUGUCCUUUUCAACAAUAAUAGUUGAUUUGUCAAAAUUUCUCUUAACAUUUUUAUAAUAUCUUAGAUAAAUCUAAUAAUGCCAAAAUAUAUAUGCAAACUAUAAACAUUUAGAUUCAAUUUUUAAUAUUUCAUCAGUUAAUUUUUUUUUAUAUCAAAUUCUACAAAAAUUAGAUGUUCUAAUUGAUUAAUAAUGGAUAACAACGUAUAUUACAUAUUAAAAAUUGUAUAAUAAUGUUGAACAAGACACACAAAAAAAAGGAUUACAAAGUUAUAUUAUAUUUAUACCAAAGUUUAAUCAACAUAUUCAUAACUUUUGUCAUAUAAACCAAAAAUUUAAUACAUAUGUGUUUUAAAAUUAUUUUAGUUCAUUAAAUAAAUUUCAGUUUAUGUUAUGUUAUCUAAGUUAGUUUUGAUCAUCUGAGAAUAAAGCUUGACAUAAAGAAAAUAUUGUUAUUACUUUUAAAAAAAUAUAUAUAUAUAUAUAUAUAUAUAUAUUAUGUUAUUUAAGAUUAUGUUUUAAAAGAAAUAUAUAUGUAAUAUUAAUAUUAUUUUUUGUGAACUUUUUUUUAUGUAAUCAAAAUUAUGUAUUUGGUAUAUUUUCCUGUUUAAAUUUAAAUUUUGUUUCUCUAGUAAAUUUUUAUUGUGAACUUUAUUUUUUAUGAAAUCAAAUUAUCUAUGAUACAUUUUAUUUUUAAAAAUAUAAAUUAAUUAAUGUUUGCUUUUAUUAGCUAUAUUAUUUCGAAAUAUAAAAAAUAAAAGGAAAAUUAAAUUAUAAAUAAAAGUUUAUUAGAAAUUAGAUAUAAUAUUUUUAAGUUAUUAAAGGUAUCUCUGUAAUUAUCCGUCCUAAGUAUUAAGAUGAGCGCAACAUGUAGAAAACUGACUUGUCAAAUAUAUUAUUAUAUGUGAUAUAUUUUUGUUUUUAAAAUUUAAAUUUUUUUUCCUUUUGUAAAACUUUUAUUGUGAACUUUCUUUUUUUAGAACUCAAAUUAUCUAUUAUACAUUUUCGUUUUAAAUUUUAUAUUUCAUAAAUUAAUGUUUCCUUUUAUUAUAUAUAUUAUUUAAAAACAUUAUAAAUCAAAAGAAAAUUAAAUUAAGAAGAAAUAAUUUUUUUUAAUAAUCGUAAUUAGUUAUAAUGUUUUUACUUUAUUAAGGGUAUAUCAUAAUCAACCGUCGUAAGAAUUAACGUGAAUGGAACAACACAUAGAAAACUAAUUUUUCAAAUAAUAUUAUAGAGAUUUUAAGAAAAUGUUAAUUUCCAAUUUGCGUAUGCAUCUAUUUUCUUAAGUGUAUUGUCUAUACAUUCCAGUUUUACAAUUUAAAUUGAAUAAAUGUGCUUUCUACUUAUUGUUUGAAUCACAAUAAAUAUUGCAAAGAAUAUUUUUCAAAAUCUUUUAUUAAUUUUUAUAAAAACUAUCUUAUCGAACUAAAUUGUUCUGUGAACUAGGUAUUCAACAAAACAUAAGAUCUCAAAAGGACGAUUAACAUAAUAUAGAAAACGGUUUGAGCAACAGAGUUUUACAGGUUAACAAAACAUUUUCUUUUAAAAAAAAGAAGAUCUUUGCUAUUUAAAAAAUAGCACUUAAGAAUGCCUUAUGUGAUUUAAGGGAACAUCUAUUACUGAUCUGUUCGUCAAACAUUCUGGUAAUAUAUCCAAAGAAACUCAAAGUAAAUUUAGGAACUUUCUGAUCGAUAACUUGAAUUAUGUGAUCAGUACUGAUUUUGUUUUUUAUUUGAGAAGAAAUUCAGUAUUUACAACAUUAAUGUUAAUGGAACCAGUAUUUACAACUUGGUCCUUUUCCUUUCAGUGCAGGUCCCGUGGUUUCCUUCAUCUUGCGGCCUCCUUUUCAUCCCGUAUUUUCGGCAUUGUUGAUGAGUGCGUACUGGUUUGUUGCUCCUUAUUUUCUCUGCGGUUAACUGUCAGUGGUAUUACUUGCUUAGAAGCAGUUAGGAUGCUCCGGCUCCUCUCUGGAUUAACAGCAAUUGGUUAGUGAAUAGGAUGUUAGAUCCGGAGUUUGCUAACGCUACUUGUCUGUGUAGUCGAACCAUUUUAAGCUGUCGGUUGUAUGUCGUACAUAUUUUACUUGUUUCUUACUUGUGAGCCACUGUUAUUCCCAUCUCGGGUUGGAUCAUUUUGGUUUGUGUUGUCUUUUUUUUUUCCUUAGUUUUCAGUUGUAUUUUUUUCCUUUACUUCUUCUUUCUUUGUUUCUCUUUGUAACCUUUGUUUCUCUUUUUUUUAUUUCAUAUUUUUUUUAUUUCAAUAUGAAAGCCAUUUAAAAAAAUGUUAAUGGAACCAGUGAUCUAAAAAUCAACAUAACCGGCAUAUCAGGUCUAGAAGAAACAAGUUAUCAGAAUGGCUUAAAAAGAUGGGCAAGCGUCCGUCUAAUCAAAAAUUAUCUAUUUAAUGUCUAGAAAAAGAUCGGGCAAGACGUCUGCCUAAUCAAUAAUUAUCUAUAAAAUGCAUAUCUACCGCAUGGCGAAUUCUUAAAAUUACCAAUGGAGGUUUGUCGAUGAAACGAAUAUAUAACUGAUGAGUUGACAUCCCUAUUCAAGGCGAUAAAUGUUGUGCUCGUUGUGGAGAGCCAAAGGAAUCAGUGAACCAUAUGUUUUUUUGAAUGUUCAUCGGCGAUCCAAGUUUGGGCACUAUCAUGGAUCCCAUUGAAUCCAGAUAUUUUUUCAACAUAGUCACUCUUCACAAAUAUGGACCAUAUGUUUUGGAGAGUUACUCCGGAGAUAGAGGAUCAUCAAUUUACAUGGAUCUUAUGGUAUUUUUCGGAAGAGAGGAAUAACAAAAAAUUUAACAACAUAGAUGUUGAUCCUAGAACUACUCUCAAGCUGGCAGAAACAUAAUCAUUAAUUUGGGCCGAGGCACAAACUACAAUUAUACAAAGGAUUACCCAAAGUAGGGUGAAUGAGGUUACAACUACACCUUCUACCCCAGACAGAUGGUGUUUCACAGAUGGAUCGUGGAAAGAUAAGGAUUUACAUUUGGAACAAGGUUGGUAUAUCAUUUUAGAAGGUUUUGAUGGAUUAUUGGGGGCACAAAUACUCGAGCUAGUCUCUCACCUUUUCAUUCGGAAGUAGAAGGCUUAUUUGGGCAAUAGAAUGCAUGACGAAUUUACGUCAGUAUCAGGUCACAUUUGCAACAGGUUGUUCUCAAUUGGUGAAGAUGGUUUUAGAACCAGAAGAAUGGUCAGUUUUUGCAAAUUACUUAGAAGAUAUUAAGAUUCUGAAAAGCAAUUUUUACUCUUCCUAACUCCUCCAUAUACCAAGAACGAUGAAUUCAAAGACGGGUAGCCUUACACGUAGUGCUAGAAAACAACCGACUUUUAUCGUCCAUAUAGAUUCAGAGUUACAAAAUUGGUUGCAGAGUCGUCACGAAUCUGUGAGUUUGCUGAUGACAAAAAAAAAGUUGACAUCCCUAUUUAGAAACAGUUUGCCACUUAUAAAUUUUGUGGCGGCGGUGUCUAAGUUACGAGUCUAUUGAGUCUUAAGUAAGCGUACAUGUGUGGAAGAAUCGGUUAGGAUGUAACAAUUUUUUUAUUUUUUAUAUACAAUAAUAAAUAUUAACAAUCAUGAUUUAUUUAAUUUUUCAAAGCUAAAACCAAAAAUUAGAAAAAAUAACUGAUGAGUUUUUUUUGUAAAAUAUUGUUGUAAAUUUCUUUUAAUUUUUACAGAUACAUUAGAUACAAUUAUAUCAAAAAAUCUACAAGAUAAUUUUAUUGUAAAAUUUCUACAAGUACAAUUCAACCAAUCACUAUGCAUUUGUUAAUAUUGCUAUCAAUGUUGUACCAAGAUCAUUAUGCAAAGCAAUGAAUUGCCAGAAACGAAUCAGACCAAACUAACACGUGUAGUGCAGUGUAUAAAGUCAAUCCGGUUGGUAAGCGAAUGGGAUGCUAUCUACGGUUACAUAUAUGAAUAUUUGGUAAGAAACAAAAAUAUGACUGAAAAUGUAUGAUCUCAAUUUUAAAAAUCAAAGUAGAUUAAUAUCCGUAUUUUGCAUGGAAUUAUCAUUGUGUACAUAAAUUAUUUUUACUUACAAUUAUUUAUUUUGAUUUUUUACAUAUUAUAAAUAUAUAUUAAAUAAUUGAGAAGCUAAUAAUGUAUAUAAUUAAAUUGGCAUAAACACAUAAAUAUUUACAAUAACUUAAUGGUAAAUAAAUAUAAACAAUCACUUUUAUCUAUUUUAUAUGGUAUAUAAUUAAAUUUAAAUGAUAUUAAAUAGAUAUAUAAAAUAUAUUUAAUAUGACUAUUUUUUAAAUAGAUCUUUGUACUCAUAUGGUUUUAAGAUUAUUAUUAUUUUUUAUAACAAAAAAAUUAAAACCGUUGAUAAAUGUUUUUUACAAAUGUGACUUUUAUUAGUUUUUGUAAUUUAUAAUCGUUUAAAAAAAUUAAUGUAAAUUAUGAAUUAAAAUAUUAAGUUUUCAAUACUUGUUAAAUGCAAAUUUCAAAUUUAAAAUAUUUAUGUGAGUUUAUAUGGUAUAUAUUUUAAUUUGAAUUAUAUUGAAACUUAAUAUUAAAAUAUAUAUUUUAAUGUAAAUAUAUAUAUAUAUAUAUUAUAUUUAAUAAGACUUCAUACUCAUAUGAUUUUAUGAUCAACUUUUUAUCUUUUUAUAACAAUUUGUUACACCAUUAGUAAUUACAAUUUUUAAAUGUGGGACUUUUAAAAGUUUUAACAAUUUAUAUUGUUUUUAAUAAUUGAAUAUAUAACUUAUAUGAAAAAAUCUAAAUUUUAUUAUAUGAUUAAUGUAACUGUUUAAUUUAUUGUUACAAUUUAAAAUUAAACCAAAAUGAUAGAGAAUACAAAAAUUGUUAUCAAAUAUAUAUUAUUCAAAAUCACUAAUUUGUCAUAUAUAUUGUAAUCACAUUGGGUAAUUCCGUAGCUUUUAUUUUAAAAAAAUAUUUUCUUGUAAAUUAAUAAUUAAUUUAAUUAUUAGUUUAAUAAAAAUAUAAGUAUACUUUAGAUGUACCAAUCUAUUUUUCUAAAAAAUUUAAAAAUCAUUAUAGUGAUGACACAUGUCAUAACUCAAAUGUUGUACUGUUUCUCGAAUAAUAUAUAAGAGAUGGGAAAGCUAUGAAAAUAUUUUGAAGGAGGAAAUGAAUGUGAUAAACCCUUUAAUAUUUUUCUAAUGAAAAAAGCUUUAUACAUCAAAUGUAUAUAUCUUAUUUACCAGAACUAAACAAGAGCUGUGAAAAAAAAAUGGAUAAAAUGUUGUAGAAAUUUGGAGAAUGGAAGAGCUGCUUACCAAAAAACUAUAUUCUUAGCAACGUGCGGCUAGAGACAUAACUCAUAUAAGGGUAAUCAAUUUAAUAAGAGUAAAAGUGGCCAGCCUGACGAGUGCAAAAAGAUGAGAGAUGUGCAGCGCGUCAGACGAAGACUCCUCUAGCCUAAGCCUCACAAGGGUCCAUCAACUGUUCAGACGCGAUUACCCAAGCCGGUGGAGGAUGUGGCAUGCACCCAUAUCACCAAAUAUGGAAAGAGAAGAGGAUCCAAGUCCCAGGCAUCAAAACUAUACACAUUUUGUAUAUAGAUCAUAUACUAUAUUCAUUGACAUUGUACCAACAUUCAUAAUCAAUAAGUUAUACCUUUUUACCUCAAAUCAUAUCAAAAUUGUCAUUUUAUUCAUUAUUUGUUCAAAGUUCAAACCCUAACAUUAAUUUAUGAGUGGAUUUCGUUGUCCAUCACGAGUCAUUUGGUUCCAACUCUCGAUACGAUCAACAUGAAUAAUCUCGGUUCAUAAAUCAACCACAAAAGUUGCGAAAAACCGUUGAAACAUAACGUAGACAUGGCUUUGGCUUUUCUGCCAAAAAAAAAUCGCGUGGAAACAUUUAUUGCUAUACAAGCUAUUAUCUUCCCCUGUCGAGGAUUCUACAUGUUCUUCCAAAAUUCUAGAAACAAGAUUCUAUGAUCAUGAUGAUGAUGAUGAUAUCACUUUCUCUUUGUAAUUUGACACCACAGGUCCACCACACGAGUAAAAAUAAAGCCUAGUAAAUGAUACUUCAAGGAACAAUGCCAUGCUAGAGCUUCCUAUCACAUUACAAAGAGCAAGUGAUAUGAUUUGAAGUCAUCAUCCAUAUCUUUGCACGUGUCUUCAUACUUGAAGUUAUUGUGAGUUGUCCAAUCCCACGACAAUCUCAAUGUAUGUCACAAGUUAGACAUCCUGAUCUUUGUACAUAAGCAUAAAUAUAUACUAACAUUUUAGAAUGGCACUGAAUAACAUGAUUCAAAUAUUAUAUAUCAAAGAUGGAAUUUGUUAAAAAAACAGAAAAUGGAAACGAGAGAGCAACAGGUUCACAUUAGACCAUUGAAAAGGAUGUAGUCCAAGUCAAAAGCCUUGUUUCUUCAAAGGCAAAUACAAAGCUCCAUUUUAGAAGUUUAGGAACAAUGACUAACAAUAGAAAAAAAGAGAGUUUUUGGGAAUAGUUAUGGCAACUACAGAGUGUAGUGAUGUCCUGAUGUAUCAAUGUCCAAGCCCUUUAGCUUUGCAACUGAUUCAACAUGUCCCUUAAAUGUGUGAAUCUCCCUAAGCCUGUCACAACAAAGCAUUCGCCAAUAAAAAUCAAGAAAAUUCAAGUUUCUUCCGUUGAGAUUGAUUUAAUCAAAGUACACUUACCUAGCUAUCUCGGCCCUUUUCUUGGCUUGCUCAACGAUCUGAGACAGCUCUCUGUAACCCCCGUUCUCUGGGAAGACGUUGACCUCUUGUCUUGUCUGCAGACCGUGCUGCGUCCUUUGUUCGGUCGCCCACUCAGCUUGUCUUUCUCCAGCUCCGUAAUCUCUCCUGGUCGUCAAAGCGGUCUGCUCACAAAGUAACAGCAGAAGCAAUGAGUAUUAUUAUGUUUACCAUCAAGAUGUAAAAGAGAGUUAGUUGUGUGUACGUACCCUUUUGUCAAACAUGCUGACCCAAGCCUUUCCACUCAAGAUGUAUCUAAUGGCAAACUUCAAAAUAUCUUGUGGGAUGUAUGUUAAAAUACUGUAAACCCAAAUCACGGCAGCCCAUCCCCAACCUAUACCUUUCACCCUUGCAAAAGUCCAAUCUGCAUACACUGCAAUCAAAGUAGCAACCUGCAUUUGGAAGGAAGGAAGAGUGAGAUGAGUUUCUUUUCUGGAAUUCCUGAAAAUAUAUGAUGUUCUUAAUUACCAGUUGUGCAAUGACGAAUGCAAUCAUCAGAAGCGCCCCAGGACGUUCAACGAAUGACCAGCUCCUUGACCUCGUGACGAAUAUAAGCGCUUGACUGAUGAUACUAACUUGUAGGUACACAGCAGACAUUAGUUCAUCGUUAUUGUCCCUGAUUGACCUCACACCAAACUUGUCCUGCAAGUAAAAGGUAAGUAAUAGUUUCUUACACAAUAUUUAUCUAUAUAAUCCCUAACACAUACCGAGCAGAAGUCAGUCUUGUGAAUCACCCAGAAGAAAAUCACACUCAUAACGGCUUGGUAGCCUCCCAACACAAUUCCAGUGGCAAAGAUUUCAUUGAGCUUCCAGCUAUCAGGUGUUGGAGAUGGCUUGACUCUAUCCUUUGAGAUUGUCAUGAUAGUACCUAAAAGACAGCAACACAUUAUUACCAUAACAACUAGUUAUAAUAUUAAGAGGUUAUAUAGUCAUUUUCUCACCAUCAUUAAGGAUGGCAAUAAUCAGAACCAUGAAGGCUGAGAAGUCAAAUUCCCAUAUCAGAGCAAUGAGCAUGAAACCAAACUGCAAAAAGUUACAAUAUGAUCAGUAUAUACAAUAAAAGAAACAAGUGAUAGAUGUUUGGUUUGUGAUUACUUACAACAAUACGGAUUGUGAUUGAGACUGCAUAAAUCUGUCACAUGCAUGAGAAAAAAAUAGUUAUUAGUUUCCUACAGAGUAGUGGUCAUAAUAUAAGAAUAAGACUAAAAAAAAAUUAAUAGAAUGUGCACUGUAUAGUUCUUCAUUCUCUGGAAGAUAGCUCUGCUAGUGAGCACUGCACUGAUGAUAACACUCAAACCAGGUUCGGUGAGAACGAUAUCAGAAGCACCACGAGCAGCAUCAGUAGCAUCAGCCACAGCAAUACCAAUGUCAGCUUUCUUCAAAGCAGGAGCAUCAUUGACACCAUCACCAGUCAUUCCAACAAUGUGUUUCAUCUCUUGCAGCUUUUUCACAAUCUCAUAUUUGUGCUCUGAAACAAUAAAACCUUGGAUCAAUCAAUCAAUAUAACAAAACAUUUUUCUAAUUAUGAUUUGGUUUUAAGACUGAGUAACCUGGAAAGACGCCAGCAAACCCAUCAGCCUUCUCAAUCAACUCCUCAAUAGGAACGGAGGCAAUGUUUGAGUCCCUGUCGGUACCGAGAAGAGCCGCAGAUGGAUACAUAUUGGUUCCCAUCCCAAGCCUGCGACCAGUUUCCUUACCAAUAGCAAGUUGAUCACCUGGCAAUGUAGUUAAGUGAAAACAUCUUAAAUAGCCAUGUUUUUUUUUUGAUGAAAUAAUAAUAAUACGGUGAAUUUAAGUAUAGUUACCAGUAAUCAUUUUAACGUUAACACCAAGGUUCAAAGCCCUACGAAUGGUUUCAGCACUGUCAUGUCUUGGAGGGUCAAAGAGAGGCAACAAGCCAACAAACUCCCAUGGUCCACCUGAGCUUUCUUUUGUUUUCUCAGGGACCAACUAAAAAAAAAGGAACAAGAACUGAGUUAAUGCAAAAAAAAAAAAAAAGAGAUCUCUGGUGUAAUAUAAAUAAGAGAAAAAGACCAAAAUAGCACUAAAUCAAGUUUUUGUUCUCAAACUAGCACUCAAGGUCAAAAGUCACAAAAAUAGCACUCAAAGGGUGGCGUUUAGGGUUUAGAAUUUAGGGUUUAGGGUUUAGAGUUUAGGUUUUAGGGUUUAGAGUUGAGAAGUGAGGUUUUGGGGAUAAGAUUUCAAAUUAUGAAAAAUAAAAAAAUUUAAAUUUUUCAAAAGAUAAAAUACUAUUUUGUUCAUUUUAGUUUUUGAGUGCUAUUUUUGUGAUAUAAACUUAGACCUAUAAAUAAGUACCUGACGAGCUACUGCCAAUGACCUAAGACCGCGCUCUGCGUAGUUGUUAAUAGUAGCGAGUGCCUUCUGCCUAAGCGCAGGCCUGGCAUUAGCAAGGUCGAGGAUCUGCUCGGGUGCGCCUUUGCUGACUCUAUGCCAGUUACCAUCAGAGUCGAUGUAAGUCAAAGCAGUUCUCUUGUCCACAGGGUUGAAUGGAAGGAAGUGAACCUCCUUGAUCCCAGCUCGGGCCUCCCUUGGAUCACCAAGCAUAUUAACCAUGGCUGCAUCAAUAGCAUCCUGGUUCUCAAUCCUAGAAGCCAUGGCUGCAAAUAAUAAGACUUGACCUUUCUCAACUCCCCUGCAGAAAACCUCGACCAAGUCCUUGUCCACACUCAGUUUAUUGAGUGUUAGCGUCCCGGUUUUGUCACUGCACAGGACAUCCAUCCCCGCCAGUUCUUCUAUGGCAGUCAUACGUUUGGUGAUGGCACCUUGCUGAGACAGCCUGUGAGAGCCAAUAGCCAUAGUCACGGACAGCACCGUCGGCAUAGCGAUGGGGAUACCACCGAUCAAGAGGACCAAGAGGUUGUCAAUUCCAUCUCUGUACUUCCUUUUUUGAAUACCGUACAUGACUAUUAUUUCAAUCACCAUACCGGUAGCAAUUGAGCAGAUACAGAAGGUUCCAAUGGACGAGAGAACUUUCUGGAAGUGGCCAACUUGGUUAGUGCUGUCCACAAGGUGAGCAGCUUUACCAAAGAAGGUGCGGACUCCUGUAGCUAUAACAACUGCUUCGAUUUCUCCUUGCUUGCAAGUUGAACCAGAGUAAACUUCUUGACCAGGGUGCUUGGUCACUGGGAGAGACUCUCCGGUUAGAGCAGACUGAUCAACCUUUAAAGGAUCACCUUCGAGAAGACGGGCAUCGGCUGGGAUGAUGUCUCCAAGUUUAAUGCUAACAAUAUCACCUGGGACAAGUAUAGCAGCUUCUUGUUCACUCCAUUUUCCAUCCCUAAGAACCUGAGAAGAAAAACAAAAACAAAGCAAACAAAACAGGUUAAGCUCAAGAAAAGUUUCAAAAAAAAAAAUAACAGCCAAAUUUAAUGCAGAAAACAAAAAUACUUUCAAUUUUUAGAUCUAUAUUAUUAUUUGUGAACUGAUUUUUUGCAUUUGAACUCUGAAGUUAAAAGUUAAAUCGAUUAAUAUCAUUGAUACCCUGAAUAAAGAUUAGUUCUCAAAGAAAAAAAAGAUUUCAGAAACACAACAUGAUACAACACAUUACCUUGGUUUUAGGAGCAAGACCAGCCAUGAGAGCAGCUGCAGCAUUACCAGCAUUGUUUUCUUCAAUGAAACUGAUAGUGGAGUUGAUAACAAGCAGACAGAUGAUACCAACAAAAUCUUGCCAAUCCGGAGGUCUGCCAUCACCAUUGGCCAAAGCAAUGGCCAUGAUAGCCGCAGCUUCCAUAACCCAUGAAAGUGGAUUCCACAUGAACCCCAGAAACUUGAGAAUCUUGCUUUCCUGUUUAAGUUUUAAAUGGGAAGAUCAAACUUGUGAGUUUUCAGAAACUCGCACCAACAUUCUACAAAACCAAAGCUCUUUAAGUCAAACUCAAACCUUCUUCUCUUCGAGCUUGUUGGGGCCAAAUAACUGGAUCCUGUCCUCCCCUUCCUGCGUCGUUAACCCUUCACUUGUACAUUUUAACUGCUGGAAAACUUCCUCAAUUGGAAUUUUUUCCUGAGAACCCAACCAAAGUUUCGAUCAGUAAUUCAUACACAUCAGUUACAAAAAAAAAUUCAUACACACGAUUGUUGUAAUGUUUCAAACCAAACAAAAGGGUAUUUUUUAUAUUAAAAAAAAAACAAAACGUUUUUAGUUUCAUACAAAUCUUGAAAGAACUUUUAUAGGAUUGGUGUAAUGUUUUCAAACCAAAGGGGAAAUAUUUUAAAAAUAACUUUUCAGUUUCAUGCAAUCUCGAAGCGAUUAAACUCAAGUUAGUGUCUUUUUUUUCCAGCAAUUUAAACAUAUUCAUACCAAACUCAUAGCUCCACAUUCAUAUGGACUCAAGUUAGUGUCUAUUGAACAAUGUUUUGCUAAAAGACAAAGAUGUCAAAAACAACGUACGGAAAGGUACAACAAAUCCUAAAAAUAAAAUUAUAUCCUUUUAUACAGUAAAAAUAUAUAAUUAAUAAUAUCAAGACUAUGAUAUUUUAUUACAGAUUUAUUAAUUUACAUUUUUUUUAUUUUACUGUAUAUCAUUAAUUAAAUUUUAGAAAAUUGAAUUUCCUAUUGCUUUAUUAUAUUUGUUGGUGUAUAUGAAAUAUGUUUUAUAGAAUUUAAAUGUUGUUUUAGAUAUAAAUUUACUAAAUAUUAUAAAAAUAUAUUGAAGCGUUAAAAAAAAAUGGAUAUGAAUUCUAUUGUGAAUAUAAAAUAAACAAUGUUGUUUUUGUUUGUACUUAUUUAAAUUAUAUAUAUAUAUAUAUUAUUAAUUUAAAAUUUUAAUGGGACUAUAUCUUUAUCUAGGAUUUUCUAAAAAUUAUUAUCUUAUUAUUUUAUUAAUUUGUGUCAUAUUUUACACUAGUCCAGAUCGGCGCUGAAUAAGUUUAUUAAUUUACUGUGUUAUUAGUUUAUCGAGUAUUAGUUUAUAGAAUUUCUAGUGUAAUUAAAAAUUAUUUGUAUUUUGGGAUGUAUUUUUAUGGAUGGACGAUAGAAUAUUAGGUUAUGUUUCCGGGGAUUUUUCCGUGUACUUAUGUAUUCUACCUUGUAUCUUUCCAAUGAAUGAAAUUCAAUUUCAAAAAAAAAGAAUAUUAGGUAGACAUGUUAAUUAGAGUUUAAACACAAACCUGUUAUGUCCUAUAAAGUAUCGAGUUUGGGUUUAAUUAUAAACACCCAAAAAAUGAGUUUUUUGGAUUAUUCAUUGAUGUUUUGGGUUUAAUCUAUUUGGGAUAGGACCAGCACAAAAAAAACUCUAAUCUUUACAUUUUAGUGUACUAGGAUCAUUUAUGUGACCGAAGAUGUUUUGUUAUUGGCAUAUUUCUUGAUACAAACUCUAGCAAAGCAAAUAUGGAUGUUGUGAAAAUACUUAAACGUUCACUCAAUACAAGAGACACAUGCUAAUUCCGAUAAAUCUGCUUCUUGUUUAUGUAAAAAAUAUUAUAAAAAUACAAAAUAUGGAACAUUUGACGACCUUUUGACAUAAAUUUUGUUUUCUUAUAUAUUUAAUUUUAAUUUACAUCUGAUUAUAUAAAUCUUUUUAAAUAUAGUUUACUUAAAUUAUGGUUUACUGCGUAUAAAACAUUUUUGUUAUAAAACAUUUUUGAACAUGAAAAAGUGAAAAUGUUUUUUUUAUAAAAACUUAAAUAUUUUAAAAUAGUUAAAAUGAUAGAUACAACAUAAUAAUAAAUUAUGUAGGAAACCCAUCUUUAAAAGCCGUUUAAUUUUAUUAGAACCGACAUGUCCUUAAAAUGUAGGCUCAAAAUAUUUUUGGACCGGACCGACUGGACUUAAAUAUUGCAGAUGACAUCCCUAAUAUUAGGAGCUGAUUUAACAGUAAGAAACUUAUUUUACAAAAAUAUUUUCAGAAAAAAAAAGUCUCUCUCAGAAGCAAAAUAAAUUUUAAUUAAUACUAUAUGAAAGCAAUUUAUUGUGACGUAGCUUAGCUCCACCUCUGUUUCAAGUGCAAAAGUUGUUAUGAAGUUCAUGUUUUAUCUUUGAAAUAAAUAGGUAGACAAAUCUGAGAUUUAAGGGGUGGGGAUUUAAGGAACUGUUUCAGAAUCCCAUCCAAUAUUUUUUAAGGAACCAUAAAUAUUUGGGGCUAUACCGUCUAUGUAUAUUAGUUUUUUAACAUUUGGAGGCAAGGGCUAAUUUUCAUUAGGAAUUAAUCGUGAAAGAAACAUUUUAACAGUAAGAACAAUCAUGCAAAACGAUAACAAAACAGAUCUAUACUCACGUUUAAUGAAAUCAUCCAACAGUUUGUGUGCAUGAUAACAAUUGAUUAAGCCAGAAGAUAGGAAUGAAUAAAAUACCAGAUCAACAUUCUCGUUCUUGAUAUUCUCGAGACCUGACAUCUCUUUCCGUUCUCCACGAAACGGCGUCCCUCUCUGUCGUUUCAACACUUGAUAACACUGACACCCGAGAGAGAUAGGUUCUAUUGCAGAGGGAAAAACGUCUCCUCCUUUUUAUUCGACAUUCAAACGACGGACUUCUCCACCGUUUUAGCUCAUGUGGACCCCGUGCUAGAUUCUCUAUUUUACCCAUUUUGUUAAUGUAUUAUUUCAUUCUUUUUUUGGCACUCAAACGAAAUUUGUUUUGUUUUAUUUGUUUCUUCUCUUUAUUAUUUGGUGUUCAUCAAUUGGUUCUUGAUUUUUUAUGGCAUCCUUUCUCACCUGGACACGUGUUUUGGCUGUAUAAUUAGAAUCAGAUAUUGUUGUGUAUUUCUUUGUGGUUAAGAUUAUAGAAUUUUAAAAUUAAUCACUUGCUUUGAUUUCAGAAUCCAAUGGAAAAGUUUAAUAUCAUUGAUACCUUAAUGAAUAACUAGAUUUAUUAUUUAGAUUAUAUAACUAAUUAUAAAUUAAAAUUAUAAAAAAAAACAAUUUAAGACUAAAAACACAUUAAAAACUAAUAUAUAUUGUGUUAUUAUUUAAAAAGAAUAUUUGUCAAUUAUCAAAAUUUAAAAAUUAAGAAAAACAGAUGAAUAAUUAAAUACUAAUCAAGUAAAUAAAUAAUUUUGUAUAAUCAAUGAAUAUAGUGUAUAAAGAAUUUUUUUAAUUAUUUAUAAUUCUUCAAUGUUUCCAAAAUUUGAUGAUUAUAUAUAUUUUUAUUAAAACCCCCGUAUAUAUAAUUUAAUGAUUGGUUUAAAAUAUGAAGAGAAACAAAAUUAUUAUCAUGAUGGUUUUUAAAUGACGCAUAUAUUAAUAAUUAGCUGUAAAAUUGAUUACUUAUGGGUCUUCAUAAAAUCACUAAAUAAUAAUAGUUGGAGAAAAUCUCCUAAAUAUUUUUUUCCACUUUAGUGUAUUUUAGAUAGCUCCAAAAUUAAAGUGAUCAAAAUAUGUUUCAUUAAAUGGGUAAUGACAAUUAUAUCAUCGUUUACAAUUUUAGAUAAUCAUAAUAUAAAAUUAUUAAAAAAAAUAACAAAGUCAAAAUAUCUUUUUCAAAAUUUCUUUUUCUAAAAUAUAUAUUUCCAAUAACUCCUUUUAAAACAAUCCUAGGAAAACCUUCCUUAGCAUGUAGGAUAUCUUUCUGAAUUUGUAAAAAUAAUUUCCUGAAUUGAGGAAUGGUUUAUAAAUGUGUAAUCUUGAAUGUAAAUUGUAUGUAUAUUUAAGAAGUUCUUCCUAAAUAUGAAUGAUAUCUUUCUAAAUUUGAUAAAAUUUAUUUUGAUAAUUUUGACCUUUAAUAAAACUUACAAUAAGAUUUAUAAUUUUCAUUUAUCUCUUUAAUAAAACUUAUUUUGAACAUUUUGACCUUUUAAAACUAGUUUGGAAACAAAAACUUGUUUCGGGUAUAUUUGAGUUCAUUUCUCUAAUAGCCGGUUACGUCAACGUAAUCACACAAUUUAAUAUUGAGUUAUAUCAUAAAAUAAAAUUUUGCAUGAUUAAUAAUGUUAUUAUCAGUGGACAUAUAUGAUAUGCGCACUCUCAACUGAAAUCUAUAUUAAUAUUAGUGACUUUUCUUACUUGUCAUUUUUUCCAUAUUUUUAGGUUAUUUUGCUUAUUUGUAAUGUUUAAUUAAUUUUAGAAGCUUAUUUGUCAUAUUCCAUAAUUUUAGAUUAAAUCAUUAGUUUUAAUAAAUAACUUGAUUUUGAUCCACAUUUUUAAAACGCAGAUAUUUUUUCAAAACGCGGAUAUUUAUCGUAGUGUACAUUACAAAAGAUGACAUGUUAAAUAACAUGAUUGAAGAAAAUAAGAAGUACAAAAGAAAAUAAAAAUAAUCAAAUCAUAUGUGGAUUGAAAUGAAGAAUCAUUAUGAUAGUUCAUCAGCACAUAAAAAAAAAACAGAAUCAGCAAACCAAAAAUAUAUGUAUAUAUAUAUAUAUAUAUAUCUUUACAUUCUAAAAAAAAAAAUACUAAGUUGAAGCAUCAAAAAUUUAGCAUCAGAAAAUUCAAUGACUUCGUUUUUCUGCUGUGAAUAUCAUAUAUAUAGUAGAUCGGUAAAUAUUUCUAAAUGACCUAGCUUUCACGAUAAGCUUUGAAAUAGAAUAUUCUUAAAUAAAUUCUCUGAAAAAUCUUAUGCUUAUAAGGUAAUACUAUUUUUGGAAUAUCUUGUUAGUAGAGAAAAAGAGAAAAUCUUGUGAUUGGAUUGCAUCCAAAUUUUGGUUCAAAGAUUUUAUUAUAAAUAUUUAAAUAUUGAAUGCAUGAAUCAUUUUUUCUGAUGAAUUUCACAAAGUUUCAAUGUGGGACGUUUACACUUUGUAGAUAUAAUGAUCUUAAAUAUAUUUCAUGUGUAAAUAGAUAUAGGGACUUUUUGUAUAAAUGAUUUCCUAUAAACUCAAGAAUAUAGAUAUUCUAAAUCUUGUUAGGCCCCUAAAAUUUUGCUUACCACGAUUUACAGUAAGAUUUUUUUAUUUUUAAAAGUAUUAAUAAGAAAAUAAAUAGAAAGAAAAUAAGAAAAUAUUGUACGUAAUUAAAUGUUUGCAAAUAUCCAAAUUACCCUUAAUGAAAGACACAGUUUAGACUUUAGAUAGAAUGGUAGAGGCAAUUAGUGGAAAUAUCCCGAAGUGUAUUCUGCUUUAAUAGUAUACUAGAUACGGACCCGCGCUGUGCGCGGAUUUGUUUCCUUAAAUCUUCGUAUAAAAUAAAUUAUACUAUACGAAUAUCAAAUUUGUGGUUUAUACUUUGAAAAAUAUUUUUACUUGGAUACAAAAUAUUUGCUCCACAUAUAUAGCAUUGGUGUGUGUUUUAAUAGAGAGUAAUUUGGAACCAACGUCUUCUCAAUCCUGCCAGUUUAUGAUCCGCCUUGUAAUGGAGUAAAGUGAUUAUGUUACAAAUCCCUUUAUUUAAAUAAUAUAGCCCUAUUAUUUUAAUAAAUUUUAGACAUAGUAGCAUCUAUUAUAUUAUUUUAGUAAAUUUUAUUGGUAUAAGAUAAUUUUUUGGAUGUUAUGAUAUUAAGUUUUAUUUUUAACUAAGAUUUUAAAAUAUUAGAUUGCUUUAAUUUUACAACAUAUAUAGUGUUUUUUCGUGGUGCAUUUCAAAAAGUUAUUAUUUAUUAUCUAUGAUUUUAUCUUUUGUAAAAUUUGAAAUAUUAUCAUUUUGAGUUUGAAUAUUUAUUUUCAAAAUUUUAUAUUGUGUCAAGAAAACUUUGAAAAAUUACACUACUAUUUGAGUUUGGAAGAUUACAUGAAUUUUGAAUUUUAUUUUGUUACUACAUUAAUACAUUAUUUUAUAAAAAUAUAUUUGAAUUUUUUAUAAUAUUUUCUAAUUUUUCUCAAUAUAUUUUUUUAUAAUUAAAAAUAUAUAACUAAAAUUUGAUUUUGUCAUUAAUAUUUUAAAUGAAUUACUAAAAUUUUAUAAUUUUCUAAUAACAUAUUUUAAAAAUAGUAUAUGAAAUAAAGGUUAUUAUAUACUAUUAUAUUUUUGUAUAUAAACCUUUUAAACAUUAAUAUAUUGUUGAGAUACCAAGUUAACAUACCAAGUAAAAAUCUGGUUGAUAUAAUUACUUUGCAUGUAAAUUUCACAAAUAUGUAUCUUACGUAAUAGUUAUAUUAUUUAAGUGUUAUGUCUUGAAGAUGGCUUUAAGUUAUUAGUUGUUUGAAUCGUAAGACUUAUUUGACUAAGAUAAUUAGGAUGUAUAAUUAAUAGAUAUUUAACUAACUAAAAUUACAAAAUAGAUAUGAACGGAAGUCUUGAAUUGUAUCUUCGGCUUUAAUAGAUUAAAAAAACAUAUGUAACGUAAAUGGUGAACAUGAUGAUCUAAACUCUUUAUGAUUAAAACUUAUAUGCAGACAACAUUGUGUUCAUAAUUAGAAAUUUUUAUUUGUUGGAAUGUUUCAUAUGGAUACAGAUGAACAAAAUAUGAAAUUAUUUGAUUUUUUCUGUGACAGAUAGUCAUCUGAAGAAGCAAAGGCGACAUAUAUAUUAACAUGUGUCCAAUUAGAGUUAUCGUAUGUUUAUUCUAAUAGUUAAUAACAUAUCGGUUUAGUUAGUUUAAUUUUAGAUGGUUUUAGGAGAUUAGAUAUUGGUUUAGUUUAAAUAAUCUGGUUCAAUUAUUUAGGUAGCGUGUAAAAAUAUAAUUGUAACAAACUUGUAAGGGUCCAAAAUACAUGUAGCGUACUAACAAAUUUAAAAGGGUCUAAAAUUUUUAAACAACUUUUCUAAGUAGAUAAUAAAAUAGGACUCUAUUUUAAUAGAUUAGAUUUUUGAACUGUUAGUUUCUAAACAAUUUUAGUUAUUAUUUAGUAAAUAUUUUUAUCAUAUUCAGGAGAAUUAUUAUUAACGAGUAUUAUCAAAUUUUAGCAAUAAUUUUUAUAGUUAUGUUUAUCUUAUAUUUACUUUAGUAAUGCUAAAUCGUUUAAUUUUUUUAUUUAUUAUUAUUUUUAAGGAAGCUUUCUUCUCUUUAUUUCAGGGAAUCAUCUUCAAUCAAAAACUAUGAGUCCAAAGAAUACAAUCUCUUGUCCUUGUAAAUUAAAAAAAAUUCAGUUUCACUAGACAUAUAUAAUUUAUUAUUUUUAGUUUAUAAAUUUUUAUUUAAAUAGAAAUAUGUUUUUAAUUCUUGUAUAUUUUGUUAAUAGGUAGUCACUAUGAACUUUGAAGAAGAGAAAAUUCAUAUAAAAUACAAUUAAACUAAUGUUUGUAGGAAUUACCAAAACAAGGAAAAUUGUUCAAUCAUCUAUACUAUUAUUUGAUGAAGAGAGAUUUGAUUUCACAUGCUUCACUGAUAAUUGGUAAUUGUGGUUUAAUUUGUAGAUUUAUCUUUUACGUUAUUUUAAAUUAUUAAUAAAACUUUAAUAGGUUAUUAUGAUGAUGAUACUCUUUACAUGUGUGGUUUGGUGAUAGAAUAAAUAAAAGAUUUUGCAAAUACCAAACCGUUAUUUAAGUUGCGUUGUAAUAAAAAAAAUUAUAUCUUCCAAUUAAUUUAAUAUUUAAAAUUAUUUAAAUAAUUAAAAUUUCUUAUAAGCCAUGUUCUCAGUAAUUUUAAGUUAUUUUGAUUAUUUGUCAUGUUUUGUUAGUUUUAGAAACUUAUUCGUCAUAUUCCAUGAUUUUAGGUUGUCAUUAAUUUUUAUAAAUAAAAUUUUGAAUUGUUAGUUUUUAUACAAUUUUAGUGAUUAUUUAAUAAAUAUUUUAAUUAUAUUCAGGAUAAUUAUUAUUAACGAGUAUUAUCAAAUUUGAGCAAUAAUUUUAUAGUUAUGUUUAUCUUAUGUUUACUUUAGUAAUAUUAAAUCUUUAAUGUUUUUAUUUAAUAUUUUGAAAAAGAAGCUUUUUGUUUUAUGUGAGUGAACCAUCUUGUCGUUGUAAAUUAAAAAAACAAAAUCCAGUUUUUAUAAGACAUAUAUAAUAUAUUACUUUUGGUUUAUAUUUUUUUAGUUAAAUAGAAAUAUGUUUUUAAUUAUUGUAUAUUUUGUUAAUAGGUAGUCACUAUGAACUUUGAUGAAGAGAAAACUCAUAUAAAAUGCAAUUAAACUAAUGUUUGUAGGAAUUACCAAAACAAGGAAAAUUGUUCAAUCAUCUAUACUAUUAUUUGUUGAAGAGAGGUUUGAUUUUACAUGCUUCACUGAUAAUUGGUAAUUGUGGUUUAAUUUGUAGAUUUAUCUUUUACGUUAUUUUAAAUUAUUAAUAAAACUUUAAUAGGUUAUUAUGAUGAUGAUACUCUUUACAUGUGUGGUUUGGUGAUAGAAUAAAUAAAAGAUUUUGCAAAUACCAAACCGUUAUUUAAGUUGCGUUGUAAUAAAAAAAAAAUAUUUUCCAAUUAAUUUAAUAUUUAAAAUUAUUUAAAUAAUUAAAAUUUCUUAUAAGCCAUGUUCUCAGUGAUUUUAAGUUAUUUUGAUUAUUUGUCAUGUUUUGUUAUUUUUAGAAACUUAUUCGUCAUAUUCCAUGAUUUCAGGUUGUCAUUAAUUUUUAUGAAUAAAAUUUUGAAUUGUUAGUUUUUAUACAAUUUUAGUGAUUAUUUAAUAAAUAUUUUAAUUAUAUUCAGGAUAAUUAUUAUUGACGAGUAUUAUCAAAUUUGAGCAAUAAUUUUAUAGUUAUGUUUAUCUUAUGUUUACUUUAGUAAUAUUAAAUCGUUUAAUGUUUUUAUUUAAUAUUUUGAAAGAGAAGCUUUUUUUUAUGUGAGUGAAUCAUCUUGUCGUUGUAAAUUAAAAAACAAAAUCCAGUUUUUAUAAGACAUAUAUAAUUUAUUACUUUUGGUUUAUAUUUUUUUAGUUAAAUAGAAAUAUGUUUUUAAUUAUUGUAUAUUUUGUUAAUAGGUAGUCACUAUGAACUUUGAUGAAGAGAAAACUCAUAUAAAAUGCAAUUAAACUAAUGUUAUGUUAGGAAUCACCAAAACAAGGAAAAAUGAUCAAUCAUCUAUACUUUUAGUUGAUGAAGAGAAGUUUGAUUUCAUAGGCUUCACUGAUAAUUGGUAAUUGUAGUUUAAUUUGUAGAUUUAUCUUUUAUGUUAUUUGAAAGUAUAAAUAAAACUUUAUUAGGUUAUUAUUAUGAUGAUACUUUUUACAUGUGUGGUUUGGUGAUAGAAUAAAUAAAAGAUUUUGCAACUACGAAACCAUUAUCUAAGUUGCGUUGUAAUAAGAAAAGGUAAAUUAUAUCUUCUGAUUAAUUUAAUAUUUGAAAUUAUUUUUAUAAGUGAGAAUGCUUACUUGCCAUGUUCUCAAUAAUUUUUAUUUAUUUUGAUUAUUUUUCAUAUUUUAUUAAUUUUUAGAAGCUUAUUUGUCAUAUUCCAAGAUUUUAGGUUGAUUCAUGAAUUUUAAUAAAUAAAAUUUUGAAUUGUUAGUUUUUAAAAAAAAUAGUGAUUAUUUAAUAAAUGUUUUAAAUUAUAUUCCGGAUAAUUAUUAUUAACAAAUAUUAAUAAUUUUUAGCAAUAUUUUUAUAGCUAUGUUCAUCUUAUAUUUACUUUAGUAAUAGUAAAUUGUUUAAUGUUUUAUUUAUAUUAUUGUUAAAAGGAAACUUUCUUAUCUUUUAUGUCAGGAAAUCGUUUUUUUUUUGUCAACAGCAUACACAGACUCAACUAAGACUCUGCAAACCAUACUGGUAACUCGACAUCCAUAUAUGAACAACAAACAACGAUUGCUGCCUAGCACUCUGUGCAAGACUGUCUGCCCUUGUAUUAAGUGUCCGGGGUAUAUGAAUGAGAUCUGGGUGAUUGAAACUUCUCUUCAGUAUCUUGGUGUCUUCUAAAUAACGAAAUCGUCUUACCAAUCAAAAGAUAUAAGUCCAAAGAAUACAAUUUCGGACCGUUAAAAUUAAAAAAAAAAAUCAGUUUUUGCUAGACAUAUAUAAUUUAGGAGAAAUUUCAUUUUUACCACUUUUAUGGUAUCAUUAUUCAUCUUUACCACCACUAAAUAGAUAUUUACAAAAAUACAUUUUUAUUAAUUGGCAAAAGACUUUUAUACUCGUGUUCUCUAUAUAUAUAAUAAUAAUUAUUUAAAUAAUAAAAUAUAAAUAUUUUAAAAAUAUAAAAUUUUAAAAAUAUAAAAAAUAUAAAAACAUUUUUUUUUUAUGUUUUUGAAUUAUACUUUUUCGAAUUUGAACCUUUUUAUUAAUUUUUUUAAUUUUAAAAAAAAGAUUUAAGUAUUUGUUUAUAUAUUUAUUAGAAUCUCAAAUUUAACAUUCCAAAAACCCUACCCCACACUUCAACUCUAAACCCUAAGUCUAGAUUAGUUAACCCUAGGGGUAUAAAUAUCUUUUAACUCUUUAUUAAAAGUGAACGUAAAAAUAGUUUACGUAAACCUGAAAAGUGGUAAUAUAAUUGUGGUAUUUAUGGUAAUUUUCCUAUAAUUUAUGACUUUUAGUUGAUAAAGUUUUAGUCAAAUAGAAGUAUGUUUUAAUUAUUUUAUAUUUUGUUAAUAGGUAUCACGAUCAACACCGAUAAAGAGGAAAUUUCAUAGAAAAUGCAAUUAAACUAAUGUUCGUAGGAAUCAUCGAAACAAAGAAAAAUAUUCAAUCAUCUAUACUAUUACUCAAUGAAGAGGGGUUUGAUUUCAUAGGCUUCAUGAUAAUUGGUAAUUAUGGUUUAAUUUUGUUGAUUUAUCUUUUAUGUUAUUUUAAAGUACUAAUGAAAAUUUAUUUGGUUAUUAUGAUGAUAAUAUUUCUUACAUGUGUGGUUUGGUGAUAGAAUAAAUAAAAUAUUUUGAAGUACCAAACCAUUAUCUAAAUUGCUUUGUAAUAAAAAAAAAGCUAAAUUAUAUCUUCUGAUUAAUUUAAUAUUUGAAACUAAUUAAAUAAUCUGGACAGAAAUUAAAAUUAUGUUAAAUUUGAAUUGGUUGGAACUUUGUGUUUUUGAGAAUUUAGUUUGAAACUUUGUGUUUUUGAGAAUUUAGUUUGAAACUUCAGGUUGGUCAUAUGAAGCUUUCUGGGUUUUAUCCUGCUGUGUAUUCCUAAUUGGGUGUAAAUAUUAAUAGAUCUUGGUUAUUACACUGACCCGUAGAAGAAAAAACAUUUACUUGGGAAAGAACCACUUCUGUUACAGCCUUGUUCAUUUUCAGGCUCAACCAAUCUCCAACGUAUAAUACUCCGUUUUACCAAAAAAAAAAACGUAUAAUACUCCGAGCGUGGUGUAACUUCUUCUCACUGUCCUUGGCUCGAUUUCUCUGUUUCCACUCAGUGCAAUGAGAAAGAAGAAGGAUGUUCCUGGUGAAAUAUAUGAUCCAGUUUCUGAAUAAUUUCUUCAUUUUUUUUCUUCUGUGUUUUUUCUUUCAGUUUCUUUGACAUGAGCUAGGGAUUAAUACAUGCAGCUCUAAGUCUUGUAAAGGCAUCAUACCAAGUACUGUGGUAUCUUUUUUGGCUUAUGGGCAGAGCCGGCUCAACAUUUAUUUAGCUUAUGGACAACACAACGUUUUAAAGCUUUUAACAUUUCUGUUUAUUUAAAAUUUAAUUAUAUUUAAAUUUUUUUAUCAUCAAUAUCUUUAUAAAAUUUACGAUGAAAAUAAAUUGUGUAACUUAAAAUAUUUUUGGUGCCCUUUUCAACCAAAUUUAAUGAAUAUUUAAAAUUUUAUAUCUAAAAAUAUGUAAAUAUAUAUAAAAAUAUUAAGCCCAUUAACUAUUAAGAAACGGUGGGACACGGAUUUGGACGGUCGCACCGUUUGUCCCCCGACACUGCUUAUGGGUUCAUAGAGUACUUCCAUGUUACCUGGGAGAAAGAAGUCAGUGAAUGCUAAAUUACCUCCUCCAAGAUCAAUAGGAGAGAGUAGGGCUGGGCAAAUAAACCGAACCCGAUAACCCGAACCGAAUCCGAUCUGAUAAAAAUGAAUCCGAACCGAUCCGAACCCGACGUAAAUACCGAAUGGAUCUUGUUUUGUGGUAUUUCGGGUUAUGGGUAUUAUCCGAACCGAACCCGAAUCUAAAUGGAUAUCCGAUAGAACCCGAAACAUUCAAAACCUCGAAAAGAUCUUGUACCAAACAUGAUCUCAAUUCCUAAUAUGUAUCCAAAAUAUACUAAAAAUAUUGAACAUCUUAAGUACUUAUCUAUUACAUGAAGGUUGGUGGUUCUAUUACAUGAAUGUUGGUGGUUCUAGUACAUGAAGGUUGAUGGUUGAAGAUGACCGUUGAAUCUUAAGUAUUUAGAUUUGAUUUUGUUUUCGUUAAACAAUGUUUCUCAACUUGGUUUUCGUUUUAUGAUUUUAUUUAUUUGGUUUUCUUUUUAUCAGUAAAUAUGUUUACUUUUCGUUUGAUUUUGAAUGAUCAUGGUUGAUGUUCCUUAUUUUUGAAUCGAUUUUACUUAAGUUUUGGUUACAAAAUAAGUACGAAUCAAGUAUUUUAAAACUGAAGAAGUGAUUUUACUCAUGUUUUGGUUAUAAAAUAGGUAAAAAUCAGGUACUUUUAAACCGAAAAACCGAUUGGGACCCGAACCCGAAAGUAUAUUGGAUUGUGUCGGUUCUUUGAAGAUUUACUAACCCCGACCCGAACCCGAUAGAAUCCGAACCGGUCCCGAACCGAACUUUCAUAUAAUCCGAAUGGGGCUGAUUUUGAUAAACCCGAAAAACCGAAACCCGAUUGGAUAAAACCGAAACCCGAUUGGGACCCCGAAUGCCCAGGCCUAGGAGAGAGCCUUCUACCAGCCAAUUUUUCAAAAGCUACAAGCGAGCCAAUAGAAGUUCACGAAGAUGGUUCAAAUGUACCUAUGGUUAGUAUAGAUCAAUUCGGGUCUAAUGAUUCAUCUCCUAAACCGACAUUUUUUCAAGACAACUCUGCUACAAUUGGUUCUAUCCUUACUACGCAUGUGGAAAUGAGUAACGCUCUAGAAAAAAUGAAUGAUGCUCAAGAUGAAAUGAGGUCAACUACAAGAGAAGCAGCCACUCUUCAAGAAGAAGAUCUUUCACUAGUUAAAGAGGUGCCUCUUUUACAGUCUAAGCAAACUUUUUCACCAUUAGUAGAGAAUUCCUCUACUCCAGUUAGCGAAAAGAUUAUGGAGGAAACUCCAUCCACAAUGGUCAUCACCGUGGUGAAUAACCCGGAAGAUGACGCUUUAAUUGAUCCACAUCUUCCUCUAUUCGACCGUUCACAAGAGUGUGGGGCUCACACUGUGAGUCCACAACUCACCUGAACACGACUAGGGGAGGGAGAUCGAUUAAACCAACUCAAAAAGUACAGGAAAUGGGAUGGACACUUGUCAAGGGAAGAGGAAAGCAUAUCUCGAGAGGUCGAGGUAACCGCAAAACGUAAGACGUGUGUUGGCUUUAUUUCAUUAUCUAGCUUAAUGAGCUUUUCUUGGAUUGCGAAUGUUGUAACUUGUAAUACUCUAUGGUUUCCAUCAAACUUGUAACAAACUAUAUAGCCUAAAUGCAAUAUCAGUUACCUUUAUUUUAAUGCAUCAAAUUAGUUCAGAAAAAAAAGAUGGAGAGCACAAUUCCAGAACUCAAACGUGAAGAGGAGCAAAAGUUUGCACAACAAUCAGCAACAAGAAGAAGAAAAAAUGACGCAAUCAAGAAGGAGCCUAUAUCAGGAACAAGUGUGAAGUGAAACAAAAGUUUGCAUCAAAUUUGAGAAAACCAACCAAAACAUUCUUUAAAGGAGUGAAUGCAGCAAAGAGGGAAAUAAUUGGUAGAACUGCAGAAGCAAGACUUUAAGGGCAGAAGACUGUUUAAUUAAACUGAGUUAAAUGAAACUAUCCAUAAACUGAAACUUUUAAGGAAACACGUAUUCAUUUCAGAACAUUCAUCAAUUCAUAGUAAAAAUUACUUGAGAUAAACCCAACAAGGUGUUGUAAGAUCAAACGUACUGUACCAAAACCCUAAUCUUGAUAAUUACAAUUCUGAGAAGGCACUGGACACAAACCUCAAGUAAAAGAAGUUAUCUCAGAGGAACAAGGGCAAAAGAGAGAACUCCUCGGCACCUGAAAGACCAAAGACUAAUGUUGUCUCCAUCUUUCCAACCACAAACCGAAGCGUAGUUCCAAGAACCGUGCAUCUCCCAUCUCUUGAAAAACACACCCCACUUUUUAAUGCCUUUAUCAACAAGAACCGCUCCCAAACCCCAUAUUUUCUCUGUUGCUGAUAUCUUCCUCGAUGAUUCUCGACUCAGCAGGCGUCAAGAAGUCGUUUCGGAUCAGUUUUGUGGAAAGGGAUCGAGAGACGGCUCUGGCUUGGUUUGACAUCUGUUUCAACCAGAGACUUCUUGACGCCGGCGUGUCUGAGACCUUUGCUUUCUUGAAACUACGCAAAGUUGUGUUGUGUUUACAACACUAAAUACUGGCUUGACAGAUUAUUAUAUUCAUUUAUUAUUGUUGCAUGUAUUAGUUAUGGUCUCUUGCUCAUGUCCUCUUUUCAAGGGGAGAGUAAGUCAGGAUGUCCAUGUUUCCCUUUACUUAAUUUGCUUCCGUUGGAACUUAUGGUUCUAAUUUCUUUAUUUAAAUGAGAAAAACCAAAGGAAAAAAUCAGCGAAGAAAAUUGAAGUAACUUGUGUUAUGUUUUAUUAGUUUGUUUUUCACAAACUCUCUUACCUUUGAGAAGGAGCCUUAAUUGGUAUCAAAGCAACUUGUAUUCAAAGGUAUCAAAAGAGCGAUUGGAUUCACUCCUAACAUUUUAGCAAUUCGAUCAGCUCUGAUCAAUGCAAAAUACUUCGGCAUCUCAAAAAUCUUGUAUAAAAUCAGAUUGUCAAGUGUUUGUCAAAGCAAGUAACUCAAAAGCUUUCUUCGGUUGAGAUCUUUGGAAUCGUCCGUGUCUCUUAUCAUGUUUCUUUCUAUCUCUGUCUUUUCUUUUGUCUUUAUUUCAAGAAAUCUGAACUCUGCAGCUGACUCCUCGAUAGCUAAAAGACUCUCUGUAAUGGCUACUCUGUAUCUACCACGUAGUUGGUAGCUUGAAUUAAUUUAUGUUGGUGUUAAAAAAAUCAAUGGCGUCAUGUAUCAAACCGACCACACAAAACGCCCGGGCAGUUCAGCCGGAUAAACUGGUUAAUCACCGGUUCCGGAUCCUAAAUGGUCUAAUCAGCCGGUUUAAUACCAGACCGGAGUUUAGAAGUUCCAUAUUUUGGGAUAUUUCCCGUUCCGUUAGUUUUGGAUCCGAAAUUGGGGAUGAACCGGGUCGGGUUAAAAUACGGGUUGGAACGAAAGGCCAAUGAAUCUUGUUUUCUCGAUAGGGGACGAGUUUCUUACGGCCAUUCAAAAACUUACAACCAAAGGCGCUUUAUCUAUCUUGCUUGUUCCACCAUUUAGCAAUAAUCGGAUAACGUCCUUCCUCAAUGGACGCCGCACUCUCCCCUCUCAAACCUCCAUACCCUAUUCAAUCCAAGCGACCUCCACCACCUCAGUCCUCUAACCACUCCCUCAAAUUCAGCUCCGCCACACUCCACUUACCUCCUCCUUCUCCUUCUCCUUCCUUCCCUCUCGAUUCCCUUCUCCACCACCUCGUCCACCUCUCUUCCUCUCCCCGACAUGCCACCUCACCCCCCGCCGCUCGUUUCCCUUCUCUCGAGGUCAAAUCGGCGAAACCCUUCUCGAGCCCCGUUCUGGGUAUCAACGGGUCUUUGAAGCUGCUGUGUAAGAAGGAAACUGUGCUGCUCAACUCCAUCUUGGCCCACCCUUUGUCUGAAUUGAGCAGCUUCUUCGAUUCCGCGAAGUCCGAGCUGAUUAGGACCGAUGUGUUCAGUCUCGUCAAGGCUCUGGACGAUUCCGGAAACUGGGAGAGAGCUGUUUUGCUGUUCGAAUGGUUAGUUUCGGCUUCGAAUUCAGGAGAUUUGAAGCUAGAUCAUUAUGUUAUAGAGAUUGUAGUUAGGAUCUUAGGUAGAGAGUCUCAGUACUCCGUUGCAGCUAAGCUGCUCGAUAAAAUUCCUCUGCAAGAAUACACGUUAGAUGUUCGCGCUUACACGACUAUUCUCUACGCUUAUUCGCGUACAGGGAAGUACGAAAGAGCGAUCAAUCUCUUCGAGAGGAUGAAAGAGAUGGGCCCUUCGCCUACUCUGGUGACUUACAAUGUGAUCCUCGAUGUUUUCGGGAGAAUGGGAAGGUCUUGGGGCAAGAUUGUACUAGUUCUAGACGAGAUUAGAAGCAAAGGGAUGAAGUUCGAUGAGUUCACUUGCAGCACUGUGCUGUCCGCUUGUGCGAGAGAGGGUUUGUUAAGAGAGGCGAAGGAGUUUUUCGCUGAGAUUAAGUCUAGUGGAUACGAGCCUGGGACUGUGACUUACAACGCGCUGUUGCAAGUUUAUGGUAAAGCGGGGGUUUACACGGAAGCGUUGAAGAUUUUGAAGGAGAUGGAGGAGAACAAUUGUCCCGCGGAUUCAGUGACGUACAAUGAGCUUGUUGCGGCUUAUGUUAGAGCUGGUUUCACCAAGGAAGCUGCUGGUGUCAUCGAGAUGAUGACGGGGAAAGGUGUGAUGCCGAACGCGAUCACUUAUACGACUGUGAUAGAUGCGUAUGGGAAGUCGGGGAAGGAGGAGGAGGCUUUGAAGCUGUUUUACAGCAUGAAGAGAGCUGGUUGUGUUCCGAACACUUGCACCUACAACGUGGUGCUUAGUAUGCUGGGGAAGAAAUCGAGAUCUAAUGAGAUGGUGAAGAUGUUAUGUGACAUGAAGAGUAGUGGAUGCUCCCCGAAUAGGGUCACUUGGAACACGAUGCUCGCUCUGUGUGGGAACAAGGGUAUGGAUAAGUACGUGAACCGAGUGUUCCGCGAGAUGAAGAGCUGCGGUUUCGAGCCUGAUAGGGACACGUUCAACACGCUGAUCAGUGCUUACGGGAGGUGUGGCUCGGAGGUGGACGCGUCGAAAAUGUUCGGGGAGAUGACGAGAGCGGGGUUCAACGCUUGCGUCACGACUUACAACGCCUUGCUUAACGCCUUGGCUAGACAAGGGGACUGGAGAUCGGGAGAGGGUGUGAUCUCCGACAUGAAAAGCAAAGGUUUCAAACCGACCGAGACGUCUUACUCGUUGAUGCUUCAGUGUUAUGCCAAGGGAGGGAACGUUCUAGGGAUAGAGAGAAUCGAGAAGGAGAUAGUCGAGGGGCAGAUCUUCCCGAGCUGGAUGCUUCUGAGAACUCUGCUUCUCGCAAACUUCAAAUGCAGAGCGCUUGCUGGGAUGGAGAGAGCCUUCGCGCUGUUUAAAAAGCACGGAUACAAACCCGACAUGGUGAUUUUCAACUCGAUGCUCUCCAUCUUCACAAGGAACAACAUGUACGACCAAGCGCACGAGAUCCUCCAGUCCAUCCGCGACCACGAGCUGACACCAGAUCUCGUAACCUACAACAGCCUCAUGGACAUGUACGUAAGACGUGGAGAGUGUUGGAAAGCCGAAGAGAUCCUCAAGAGUCUAGAGAAAUCAAAGCUGAGACCGGACCUUGUCUCUUACAACACGGUGAUCAAGGGGUUCUGCAGGAAAGGGCUGAUGCAAGAAGCGGUUAGGAUGCUGUCUGAGAUGACAGAGCGUGGGAUCAGACCGUGUAUCUUCACUUACAACACGUUUGUUUCGGGCUACACAGCGAUGGGGAUGUUUGGGGAGAUAGAGGAUGUGAUUGAGUGUAUGGGGAAGAAUAAGUGCAGGCCAAAUGAGUUGACGUAUAAAAUGGUUGUGGAUGGUUAUUGCAGAGGAGGGAGGUAUAGCGAAGCUAUGGAGUUUGUAUCAAAGAUUAAAACUCUUGAUGCUUACUUUGAUGAUCAGUCCAUCCAACGGCUAGCUGUUCGAGUUCGUGAGAAUUUAGAGUCCUAAAUCAAUUAUAUAUUUGUUUUUUUUUCUUUGUAGAUUUGUGAGUUUUUGUAUUAAAAUUUACAUUUUACUUGAAAUAAAAAUAAGCAACUUUGUUCAUGAAUGAUGAAAGGAAUAUAUACUAUGUUUUUACGAAUUUCACAUUUCUAUAAAUUAUUAAAAUAUAUUAUUUUUAUUUUUAAUAGAUAAUUAAUCAAACUAAUUAAAAAAACGAACGUUACUUACAUACAUUAUACACCAUUGGAUUAUACAUUGACUGAAAAAAUCCUUAAACUUUUGGUUUGGUUUGGUUUGGUUUAAUCUGAUUAUAUCUGAGUAUGAAAAGAAAAACAAAAGCUUGAACAAAAAAGAAAAGAAAAACAAAACCGAAUAAUUUAAAAGAAAAAGACUUUUUUUUAUUGGUCUCUUUGGUAAGUGUGAGAACUGAAAAGUACAUUUAUACUGGAAACACAGAGAUCGAACGAACCGUCUUCACUUUCCCUGUCUGCAUCUUGCACAACUAGCUAGUACAGCUUCUUCUUUCUCAGAAUCUUGUCUGCACAAUUUGAUUCCAUCUUCUCUCAAUCUCACCUCAAGAUGCCAAUCAACAAAGACCCAUCAACACCUCCGCCUGUCAUCGGAAAGAUCGGGCCUUACACUGUCUUCAUGACUCCUCCGGCGACUCCAAAACCACCUGAGUCUCCUGCCGCCGUGUCUCAGAAGGCUAUCCUUCAACCGCCGGUUCUUCCUCCGCCGCAGCAGUUUAAAUCGGUGGCUUCGUCCUCUGAACAAGACAGCUCAGUUUUGGGUUUCCUCAAAAACGCCGCCACAAAGGUUCAAAAUGGUAAGGAUCGCGACAAAAAAAGUUUCUUCAUUUUCGGAUCUUGAGGUCUGAUUGAUUGAUCAAUAAACUGAUCUAAAGAUUAUAUAUUUAGAAAGUAGAAUUGAGGACAAAAAAAAGAAUUGUAACUUUGACAUUCUUGUUUGUUUAAUGGUUGCCACAGCACACUCAAGCGUGGAUGAUCACUUGGUGAGAUGGUUUGGGUUAAACCAAUCUAAGUACCAGUGGGCUUUGGACGAGUAUUACCAAGACAAAGGAUCUGUAAGUGUUCUUUUUAGUCUUUCAUAGAUUAGCGUUUGUUGUUUCCUUUGGAUUCCUAACUUGUUAUGCAUAAUGCAUUGGUAGUCAAACGUGUCUUUGAUUGGUUUUGGGCUUACUCUACUUUAGUCAUUGAUUUAUGGCCUAUUUAGGUAGAAAUACAAAUUGGAGAAGGUAAUUGCAUAAGUGUGCAUAUUUUAUAAAUAAUUGGCGAACCAUGUUAAUUUUUACAUGAGUUGCCAAUUCUCUUCUUUAGCUACACCUUCUUCGUAACGUAUGGUUACCUGCUACCGGGGUUGCUGGCAAAAAAAAUAAUUUUUAUUGAAAACAUAAACCGAAUACAUUCAUGAGAAAUUGGGACUCCUAUACAAACAUAACUGACUAUUUUGCAGCUAUGGAAAAUUGACUUAAUCGAUGAUGUAUUUUUUUUUAAUGGCAAUUCUGCCCCUACUCCGUAAUUAAACACUUACGUUUUUACACAUAUAUAAACACUCUGUAUAUAUAUAUUACGUACGCGUGAGAAAGCUUGUCAAGACAAACACGAUAACCGAUUAUAUGCAUUUAAUAUAAACCGUAACUUCUCCUUUCUCUCUCAAAAUCACUGUUCACUCAUCUUCCCUUUUCAUCUUGUUUUCUCUAGAAACCUCAUAGAUCAUGAUCUCCAAGUUCUUCCGAAUUAAGGUUUCCAAUCACAUCUGUAACAGUCACAUUUCGACUUCCUGAUCAACGAACCUUCUUGUUUACUCCGCUGACCAUUUUAUCUAGUUUCCUCGCAAAACAUCACCGGCAUCUCUAUCAAUCCCUUUGGUUUCUCCGUAGCGUCGUUUCCUUUUUCUCACAAUCUCCUCGAGUUCUCACCUCCUUGAUAUUUCUGCAACCGACGUUUGACGGGUCCUCUAAUCGGUCGUUCCUUCCUCGUUAGUCUGAUUUUACGAUGGUAAGCUUUGUCCUACCUUUUAUAAUUUGAAUUGAAGAAAUUUCCAAUAUAAGGUCUAACAAAUGCUUCUGGGUUUAUUAUUAAUUUUUUUUUUGGAACAUUACUACUGGGUUUAUUCCUCUGCUUUGUUUUCUGUUCGUCUUCAGUCUCCUAGGAAUCUACACCUUUUGCUUAGUUUUUUGUGGAUUUUGUUUCAGAUAAAUAUUUUUUUCAUUUCUGUCUGAUGUUUUAUUUGAUCAGGUCUCUGAAGAUGUGUUAAUCUCUGGAACCAUCAUUCAAAUUCUCAAUCACGUACAUCCCCAAAAGCACCGCCGCGAAGUACGUCUUUUACGAGAAUCCAAGGAACAUCGUGUGUGGACUUCUCCGGACAGUGGGAAAGAGCUCUGCCGCAAAAAUAGUGCUUUUCAACAUCCCUUUAGUAACUUUUGUGAUCAAGAUUCUUUCUUUUCUUCUCUUUUUUUUGAGCAAAAAUAUUGAGCAUGUGAUGGUUCUAUCUCUGAAGGGUUUCAUUGCUUUGCAAUUUUGGAGCAGAGGAGUUUCAACGAGCUUCUUCUUAUCAUGUUUUUUUUGUUGCCAAGGAUGUUUGGCUUCCUGUGAUAUAUGUGAAGAUCUUCUGAAGUAAAACAUGCAUCUUUUGGAACAUGAGUUUUGCCAUUUCAAACUAAAGACAGUCAAUUGUUCAAAUAGCCAUAUAACAAAAAAAUUAAAACCAGCUAAAAACAUUGAGUGUCCGGUUAUGUCGGAGGAUAACCUUGCUAACUUAUGAUUGAUGUUCUCAAAAAGUUUAACCAUUCACCGAUCGUACAUGGACUAUUUUAAAUUAUAUAUUUUUAUAAAAUAAAUUAUUCUUCAAGUGUCCAAAUAGCCGGUAAACAUAGCUAUUUGUUAGUAAAUAACUGUUUAUAUAUAUUGUUGACCGGCUAAACAAACGAAUGUUAUCCGGCUAAACUAACAAAUAUAUUACAUAAAAAGAUUUGAUUUGAAUACGUUAAAAUAUAUUUGUUAGCUGGCUAAACAAACGAAUGUUAGCCGGCUAAACUAACAAAUACCUAAACAUAUUAUAUAUGUUAGCCGACUAAACUAACAAAUAUACUGCGUGAAAAUAUUUGAUUCAAAUACAUAAAAAUACAUUUGUUAGCCGGCUAAACUAACUAAUGUUAAUGAAUGUUAGCCCGCUAAAUUAACAAACAGGUAAACAUUAAUAAUUCAUAUUAGCUGGCUAAUUAUUAUAUUAUCUUUGUGCGAUGAACAGUCUCUAUGGGGACUAAGGUCUUCUUGUUACGCCGUCCCUGUGAAGAUUCUUGUGUCGACGAGCUUGUCUCGGGGAUGGCUGUUCUCCGGGAAAUCUCCCUCUUAGACGCUGAAGCUCUUCUUGGCCGGUAGACCUUAGGGUUUGUGCGCGGUGCUGUAGGAUGUGUGUGACGGCAAGGCAGCAGCUGAACUUGGCAGAGGGAGUUUGAGAGUCGGGUCUCUUGUAGAUUUCGGCGGUCGGGGCGCGAGGCAACUCUAGGGAUGGCUGUUUUGGUGAAGACUAAUCGUGGAUGGAUCGAUGUACGGUUUCAAACACACCGGCUGCCGAGAAGCUGCGAGGUCAUCGGAUCCAAUACCCAUUUGCGUUCGUCGGGGAUGGGGCAAUAGCUCCUCUGUCUUUUUUCCCGGGCUAUAAUCUCCUCUCUUUAGAUUUUGAUCAAGAUUUUGUUGUGUUUAUGCUUGUUCAUUUUUGCUGAAUCCGGUUGUCUAGGGUUCUGACAUUUCUUCGAUAUCAGAAUGUAUGUUUGUGCCGACGUUCCUUUAUCGGGAAAGAAUUAAUUUAUUUUUAUUUUAUUUAUUUUAAAAAGAGAAUGAGAGAGAUAUAAGUGGUAGGGUUAGCAGUGUAUUUUCACACCUAACAAUGUUGGGCUCCACCACUCUUUUCCAUUCUUGCAAAUUUCAUUAUUAUUGUAUAUUUUCUAUGCAAAUCGCUCUACAUUCAUUUAAAAUUAUGAUAUAAGAUAUUGCAACCGGAUGUAACUCUAACAAUUGAAGAGAGAAGAGUUGUGAAAUAUUUUACAAAUUGAGAGCUCUACCAGCGGUGGAAGCAACGCAAUUAAGAAAACCAAAGAGAUGAAACGAAGGCUCCGAGUUAGAAGCUAGAACUAUGCUGGAGACGACGGGAAGCAGAGCAUGUGCGUCAUGGUCAAGAAGAUCGGGUAGCGGAAGCCGUAGUAGAAGAGGAGGUACUUGUUCAGGAGGAGGACUCCUAUGUUGGAACCGAACCAGGCGGCGAUAAUCGUCGCCGUGAGGACGGAGGGAGAUACCGUGGGGGAGGAGAGGAAGAAGGGUUUUCCAUUGGAGGAGGCGGAGGAGUGUGUUGGUGUUCCGGGGAUGUCGAUGACUGUUGGUGUGGUGGUGGCGGCGGUGUCGAACCUCGGGUUGCUCAUCCGCCGCGUUGUCCAUGAUUGAGUUUCCACCAUUUUGGUUAGAGAGAGUUUUUUUUUUCUUUGUCUGAGAUUUGAGAGUGUGGUGGUCGCAAGUAGAAGAAAGAGGGAGAUAAAUGUAUUAUUGGACAGGGGAAAUUUAGAUUCAGCUGUAAACAUGUUGAGUGAUAAGGACAUUUUAGGUAUUACCUCAAAUUGCACAGUUUCUUUACCAUAUAUCCAAUUUAUUUCCAUAAUUUUGACAUCUAGUGCAAAAUCCCUUGAUUUAUUGUAUAUGUUACUCAAAAGUCAAAAGCAUAUUUGUGUGGUUAAGAUUCAUCUUUUAUCUUCUUUUGCACAUAAACGCAGGAAGGGAAGUGCGUGAAAGCAGAGGAGAUGCCAGGGAAAGUACAAAGCGUAUAAGCAACCAUACGCUUGAGUCUUUAUGAAAGUCAUCUUGGAUCAUUGAAUUUGUUUAACCUUGGAGAUCUCUUGGCAUAUUUGAGAAACUAUUGUAGUUCUUCAUUUGGUGUUGUGAGUUUAUAAUAUAUAUAUAUAUAUAUAUAUGAUGUCUCAAUUCAAAACAGUCUAGCAAGCAAAUAUUUACUAAGUUGGAACCAAAACAAGGAUCUUACAUUGUCACCACUGGUUUAUAGAAAAAAGCAAUGCUAGGCAAAAAAUACUUGACCCGAAUCUGACCAUAAGAAAAACCGCUCAAUCUGAAUCUGAAUCCUACAGUAAAGUCGAUCAUGUCUUAUUCAGUGAGAAUUAGGUUAGGUACUUAGGUAUGGGUAAAAACUAAAAAGUGAUCUAAUCUUGUUCAAAACGAAAUAUCCGAAGUUAACUAAAUUCGAUAACUUUCUUUUUACUGAAGUUUAAGUAAUUCAUAUACUUUUGAGUGUUUUAGAAAGGUUAAAAUAGUUCUUAUACCGGACGUAUAAAUUUUGGAUACUAUUGAGUAGUUUAUAUAGUUUGACCCUAUAAAUCAAUAACUAUUUUAGAUAUUUAUGAAUAUAAUCUCUUAAACUUAUGAUGAGAUGCCAAUUAAAGAGUGUUUAUAAAACAUUAGGUGUCACUCUCUUAAGAGAAGUAACAAUUUUAUUUAUAUAGAUAGCAAUAUAGUAUUGGGAAUGUGAGUCUUGAAUUCCCUUGCAACUAGACUGUAUUGGGAAUGCAUUUACAUUGAUCAACAGAUCCAGAAGUGCCUUGACAAUAGGAGCUUUUUUUCAAGAGUCAAACAAACAAGAAGCCAAUCUUCACUAAAGCCAGUUAUAUAUAUCAUGUCAGCAAUUUCAGAAAGAAGGUUUAGAUACUCAAUAGUGAAGCUUAAAUAUUUGUAUGAUGCUCUUACCAUCACCAAUAAAUCCUUCAUCACAUUCAAAAACAUGGUUGAUAAGAACUCUUCUCUCAAGAAGCAUAUAUCAUCCGCUUUCUUUCCAUCUUCUACUGCCACAUUCAUAACUAUCACACUUUUAAGGAUCCUCUUGACAAGCUAUUCAGCUAGUGUAAACGUUCUCUUUGUUUUACAUCCGCUCAAACGCCAUAUUAAUAAACAGAGAAAGAACUUGUUGGAUAUGACCAUGAUGAUAACAACAAGCGGGGAUAGCUCAGUUGGGAGAGCGUCAGACUGAAGAUCUGAAGGUCGCGUGUUCGAUCCACGCUCACCGCACAUUACUUUUUUUUUCCAAAAACAAUCUUUGAAUGAUUACAUUUCUCAAUCUUUUUGGUUGACAAAAAAAACAUUUCUCCAUCUUUUUAAAACGUAUUGGGACUUUAGAUAAAGAUACAAAAAGGUUUAAGAACUUCUACGGAUUCAUUAUGUGUAGUCUUGGACAUUCGGAUCUUUGGGUCGAGUCAGAUUGUCUUAGACAUUUGGACUCGACUAAGUACUUCAAUAACUUUUGGUUCGGGUUUAGCCGGUUUCUAUCAGAUCUGGGUCGGUCUGAGUCUAUAAUUAAAAUAUAUGUAAAAUACUUAAAAUUUUGGGUCCAUAGCAGAUUCAGAUCAAGUUUGGGUAUUUAGGAUUCAGAAGACCAAAAUAUCUGAAUUCCAUAAAAAAUGGCCGAAAUCCUUCAUAUUUAUUUUAAAUUUUGUAAAAUAGCCAAAAAUAAUUUGUAAUAAUUGAAAACUAAACAUUUUUUAAAUUCUAAAUUUGACAUAUAAAGUUUCAUAUUACUUGAAAAUGUUACAAAAACAAUAAUGAAGAUUGCCAAUAAAAAAGACAUUUCAACUAAAUUAUAAAGUAAAAUAUAUAAAACUAAAAAAAUGUAUGUCGGGUAUGAACAAGUUUUUAUCGGUCUAUUAAGGUCAGUUUUGUAUGUCCGGGUAAAAUGUCCCUGCCUAGUUAUGUGGACCGCUCUUUCGCUCUUUUUAAAGUCAUGUAGUGAAUUUGGUGGUUUCCCAUAUGGCCGAGACGUAGGGUUUACUUACACACACACUAUGUGAUCAGAACUUGUAAAACUCCUAGAGCGGCCCACAGAUUCUCUCUAGUGUUUUCAUUCACAUAUUUAAGUGCAAUGCGAUCUACUUUGUCCAAAAAGAGCAAAACAACCCAUUCAUCAAAUUCUGUUGUUUACAUGAUAAUUUGUUCUAAAUAAAUAUUCUUCCAAUCAAUGCCGCUGCUUCAUACAGAAUCCUUGUCACCGCUUUCUUGAUAUGCAAUCAGAGAAUGUGUCGACGAGCUGCUCAGCUAAAGCUACUGAAUCGUCCCCGAAAGCAUCAAUGAAUGUCUUCACAACGUUCAUCUCCUGAGCACUGGCUCUUAAGCUAUACCAAGUCAGGAACUCCUGUCUGAAACUCUUAUCAACAUAACCUGAACACUCAAGCUGUCUCAUAAUCUUCACGCAAUCCUCCAGCCCAAACCCGCAGCUUGUUGAACUCUUACCAUUGACCACCUUCUCUGAAACAGUUUCUUCUUCUUCUUCUUGAAGGGUUCUUGUAGAGACUUUGGUUUCAUCUACGCUGGACUGUUUGCCGCCUCUAAGGGAAACAACUUUGAAGCAACACUCUGGUGUAUCUUGGAGAGAUUUCAAAGCAGAAGAGCAAAGAUCCUUCACUUUUGACGCUGAGCCAAGCCUGUUUACGUUUCCUCUACACAUUGCCGAUGGAAGAUCAGUAAGAGGACCACCACACAACUCAGUUUCUAAACUCAUCACAGCUUCCUCCACGGUCUCAGAAAGCUUUAUGUACUUCUCCGUGCCCUUGAGAAGCUUCUGAGCCAAUACAAGACGGUUACAAAGCACGUCAACGCUUCUGGUUUCCUUUGCAAUCAACAGUUGCUUCUUCCAACACCUAAGAAAGAAAAAUAAAAUAAAGAUCUGUCCAAACUGAACUCAAGAAGAUUGAUUGGUUGAGAUUUUUACUCAAGCAAGCUGUUUGUUUUGCCACAGGAGACACAGUAGAAGCAUCCAUCAACGUCACUACUUGGCUUGAGACCUGAUUUUUCAUUCUUGAAAGCACAAUCCAGAUGGCAAGACAAGCCACAAGAAUCACCGGGGAAGGGAGGAUCAGAACCGCAGGUUAACCAGAGACUAGGAUCUUUAUUGUCAUCAUACUUGUGGCAGACACAACAAGAACACCUUUGACAGAACAAGUCUUCUUGUCUCAGCAUAGCUUGACAAGCCAAGUUCUUACAGUAGAUACCGCCUUUAGCUUUAUUAACCGAUUCAGCGCUCACAUAGCGAGUAGGAGUAGCGUUCUUCCUUUGUCUUUUUGAGUUUCUCUUAGUUGUUUUUGUUGUUGUUGUUGAUGAGUCUCUCUUCCUGUCUUCUUGAUCUCCUCCAGAGUUUCCUUUAAUAGGCGUUGGAGCUUUUUUCUCUGACACAGUUUUCAAGAGGCUGUUGAUGAGCUGAGCUUUCGUCAAGUUCUUGUACUUUCUUUCUUUCCCUAACUCUGCGCAUAAGACCUGUCGAAUCUCUUCAUGGGUCCACACCUGCAAGGCUUCGAAGGCUAAAUCCGAAUCUUUUGAGAGUUCAUGAACAAGCUUUCUCUUUUCAUCAACGCUCAUUUUUCUGCCUUUCAUGGAGUCACCUGCAGAGCUCAUACAUGAUGAAAAAGGAUGUAAAUUUUACAUGUUUUAUAAAGACUGAACACUGUUUCUUCAUGAUAAGAAACCACAUUCAUUACUAAGUUCCAAGAACAUGUACAUAUAUAUACAAAGAAAGUUUCAUCCUUUAUGGUACCAUCCUUCAUAAAACUUAGGAAAAGAUUAGGAAUCCAUCAUCUUCAAGAGUUAAAAACCAAAAAAGUUUCAAACUUUCAAUUCCAUUCGAGUUAAAACUAACGCAGAAACAUCAAUCAUCUUAAAACCCACUAAGCACACAUUACGACAAAUCUUGCCAAGUUCUUGUUUUUCUUUUCUUGCAAGAAGUAAGAAACCUAAAGAGGACGUACCGUCGAGAGAAGAGUCCAUGACAACAGAGAUAGAACAGGAGGUACCAACCAGAAUACUCAAAACCUGCAAAUGGAAGAAAGAAAAUGAGAUUAGAGAGAGUGAGAUCGUUCGUGCAAGAGGAAGCGAAGAAGAGGAACAAGAGAUGUUAUUCCACCAUACAAUAGAAUCAAAACGGUCGUCCUUGGGAAGAUUCAGCUGAAGCAGAGGAGAGACCGGAGAAGAGGAGAAAGAGACUACUUAUAGUAUGGGGCCCAACAUUUAGUUUGCAUGUCCAUUGUAUUCUUUUUUUUAAAGAUAAUGAAAUUCAAUACCAGAUAUAUUUGGUCUAAUUAUUCCACAGAAAAUAAAUUUUACUCGUGAAUACCUUCGGAAAUUUGGAUAUUUGCGGUUUUAAAAUAAAACUUUGAAGGUACUUCGGAUAGAUGAAAUAUUUGUAUAAAACUUUGAAGGUACUUCGGAUAGAUGAAAUAUUUGUAAUAUUUGGUUCAAUCAGUUAUCCAUAUAGAUCUUAAAAAAUCUAGAUAUAUGUAAUUUAUAAAUUAAAUCAAAUAUUAAAGUUAAUAUACAUUAAAAAUAACUAAAAUCACAACUAUUGAUUUAAAAAAAUUAAUAUGCAAUCCAAUAAAUGCAUACAUAUGUAUAUUAUAAAUUUAUUUUCUUAGGUAUGCAAGUUUUACAACAUCUUUAUUCACUAACUUCAUUCUUUAGUUGAAAGAUAUAUAAUGAAUACUUUUUCAUUAUGUAUAAGAUUUCUAGUUAUAUUUUAUAAUUUUUAAUUUAUAUAUAUUUAAUACUACAAAACAAAUAUUAGAUUAAAAAUAUAGAUUAGUAUCUGAUAUCCAAAAAUUAAGGUAAUAAAUAAAAACUAAAAAAAAAAUACUAAUCUAGACAAUGUAAAACUGAUAAUAAAUAUUUUUAAUGUGUCCUAAUCAUUUUUAACCAUGACAAUAAAUUUGGUGUAGAAAUUAUACAAAAUUUUACACCAGAACUAAUAUUAUAUACUUUUUAAAUUUUUAAUUGAAUAAUUUUAAGGGCAAUUGUCAGUAAUAGCAACUUUUGAAGUUUAUGUCUAAAAAAUAGCACUAGAAGGAGAAAAGUCACAAAAAUGACAUUCAUUAAAGGGUAAAAUAUCCCUAAUACCCUUGGUUUACAAUUUUUUUUUUCAAAAUUUUUUUUUUUUUAUUUUUUUUUCAAAUUUUCUUUUUAUAAUUUAAAAAUACUUUUAAAACUGUUUUUAAAAUUUUUAUUUUUUAUUUUAAUAUUUUUUUUUAUAAAAUUUUAAACCCUAAUUCCAAAACCCCACCCCUUAACUCUAAACCCUAAGGUUUGGAUUAAUUAAAUCAAGGGGUAUAAAUGUAUAUUUACCUCUUUAAUGAAACCUAUUUUUGUGACUUUGAACCUUGAGUGCUACUUUGGAACAUAAACUUAGUUUGGUGCUAGUCUUUUUCUCUAAUUUUAAUUAUUUGAUGGAUAAAUUAAAGUAUAUACUUAUCUGGUUGUUAAAAUUUUUUGUAAUUAAUUUUUCUAUAAAAAUACUAGUUUCAAUAAAAAUAUGAAAUGUUGGGCCCUGCUCUCCGGACCGAUAUCAAUGUAAUGGACACUGGGCUAUGAAAUUGUUGCCGACAAAAAAACAAAUACCUCAUUGUUUAAUCAAAAAUCUUAAGACAUGGCCUAAAACAGCUUAGUUUUAUCAUUGUUCCUCGAGUUCAAUGAAAAUAAUAUGACAAGCAAGUAGCACAACGACACACAACAGAGAGAAUCAACAACAGAAUUACAACAUGUUUUUAGUAUCUUGAAAACUGAGAUUACAUAUAAGCACAAGCAAGGAAGAGAGAAGAAUAUCUUACUGUACAAAUGAAGAAGCUCCACAAGAAGAAGAAACCAACACAAAAGACUUUACUUCUUCUGGGAAACUGUUAUAUCAACCAUCAUAAAGAAACUCUCAGACUAUGUUUCUUCCUUCUUUUCCUGGAACCUUAUUGGUCGUCAUCGAGUUCAACAAUCUGCGCACGUCUCUGAGCAGCUUUCCUUCUGAUGAAGAAGCCCCAUCUCAUAGCUGCUUUGAUCUUUAGCCAUCCAACAACAGGCUUACCCGGCUGCGAACGGUCUUCUCCAUAACCAUCCAUUGAAGACUGACCAAAAGAUUGGAACCCUAACCCGUCUUCCCCCAUGUUCAUAGGAGUUUGCGGGCCACCACCACCACCACCACCACCGCUCAUGCAAAAGAGUCUCAACAGCUGCUGCAUAUCAUCGUUCUCCAGCAUUUCAUUACUUCUUGCCCUUAUCUCCUCCUCUGAUAAAAACCCAUCACCUCCUCCUCUGUUCCCUGUGUUUGACCAAUCAUUAAAAUGGUUGAUCUCAGGAGGAGGCUGAACCAAGUGCUGGUUUUGCGAUCCUGUUGUUUGACCUAGGGCCAGUCUCUCACCGCCAUUGCUAUUGAUCAUGAUUUGUGAUUCAUGAGUGUUGUUAAUCAGCUGGUCUUGCGGUGGUGCAUAUGAACUGUUUCCAAAGUGCAUGUAAGAAGUAGUAUCAGCUAGCUGAGACUGAGCCGGGAAGCUUGUACCCUGACUCUGGCUGUACACUGAUGCUGAAAAAGAAAAAAUGAAUGACACUGUAACUUUGGUUUGACACCAAAAGAAAAAUAAUUUUAUUUUAUGAAUAAAGGUUCGGGACGAAGCCCUAUUAGUUUCGUCCCAGCGGUCACUCGAACUAGGGACGUCUGACACAAUGGUCAUGGUCCUGAGCUAAUGACCCUUUGGUCAAAAAAAGAAAAGAAAAAAAAAGAUUAGUGGCUAAUGGAUCUCUACCUUCACCAGAAUAAGAUGUAGAGGGUUGGCUUGGAACAGAAACUGGCAUAGAGUAAUCCAAAGCAUCCACUUUGUUAACUUGAUUGAAGUUCAUAAGUGACUUGCUGUCAUACUCAAUAACUUGAUCCCAGUUUUCAUAUGCUUUCCUCACCAAUCCAUCCACAUAAACCUAAGUUAUAUAUCUCAACAUGUUACUAUUUACCAAGUAUAGGAUAGAAGAACAAGUGCUCAAACACAAACCUUUUGGCUGUCAGAAAGAGAAUCAGCAGGAUAAUACUGCUUCCCAGAGAUGAGACCACUAAAUUCAUAAAUAUUGUUGAAAACAACACCAACCGAGUCCUCAGGAUAGUACACAUAAAGCAUUUCACUCAAGACGCAUGUCUUUGAAUGCUCAGCAAGUGUCUCCCACAUCCUAUUUGACAUCCCACUCCCAAGAAUCUGAAAAAGAUAGUAAUAAUCAUCAUCAUGAUAAAUACUUCAAACAUCUUUGAUAAGAUAAUGCACUUACAGUCCUUAGCUUCUGAGCAUCCUUGACCAUAAGACGCAAGAACUCUUUAACAUUGUAGAUCCCUGCUUUGUUCAGUUUCUUAUGGAACGCUCCGUCCUUUCCAAUCUUCUCCAACCUCCAUACCUCAUCAUCCAACGCAGGUGGAUAAUGUUUCUUGUACACUGUACAUGAAUAAACCAAACCAUUAGGCCAAAAACAAGAAUGGUCUUUUGCCUCAAUGUGAAAGAAAGAACUUACACUCUCCACGAUGGUCCUUGACUGUAAAAGCUUCCGUCUUCGCCUCACGCACACGCAUCCCCUCACAGUAACCAGAAGAAACCUUCAACCCCAGCCUAAACUUUCUGCACCUUAUCCAACUCGAGUUAUCCGUAAAGAUAAGCUCACCUAACGUCCCCACGCCUUCUUUCAACGUCACCUGCACGUCACCGGUCAAAAGAGGCCUCUUCCCUUGACGCUCUUUCACCAAAUGACUUUCGAACUCUUCUUCACUCCAGCCUUCAUCGUCUUCGUUGUUGAAAUCACCGUCGAGCACAACGACAUCGAGCUUAGCAGAAGCUUCGGGUCCUGUUGUCAGUACACGUCCUGUUGUGGAAUCUAGAAGUACAACGUGGAUGGCGGCGCCUUGCUCCCCUUCUAUCUUCCCUCCGGUGAACAAAGGAACAGACAAUCUAGACCUGAACUGUAGCUGUAAGUUUCUUCCACCAAUGCCUUCGAUACGUUUAGGAGAAGACCUGUAAAACUCAAAUCAUUACUCUCUAACCAUUUUCCCUUAGAAAUGUCAUGUGUUUAUUACCUCUCACUAACUCUUGCAGGGCCUAGUUUCGCCAAUGCUCGCUCCACCUCUUCACUUACCUGUUUGACAAGAGAGGCUCAAUAGACACCACAAAUCAACAAAAGACAUGAGAAAAGGCUUACCACUCGGCGAAGAAUGGGUUCCAAAGAAGAGCAAAGCCUCUGUAAACUAUCCAUCUUCAGGGCUUCCACAAUCACACUGAAAGAAUCAUACACAGUUAUAAAGGCACUACCGUUUCAAUCAAUUUAGAAACAAAACAAAGUAAAGGGUUUGUAACUGAUACAAGUAUGAACAUAGAUUACCUUGCAAGAGCUGGCCUUUUACGCUCAGGCUGCUGAUUGUUAUUAUCAUCUUCUUCCUCAAGUUUUCUCUUUUCUCUCAUACUAUUAGUCCUCUCCAUAUACCUCGUAUGCAUUUUUCUCCUCAGCUAAAAUCUCCAAAAGCUAUCGAUCUGUAAGAUUGAGACAAGCAAAGACACUUCACCAAUCUCAAACCCAAUGAUAAGGAAUCACAAAGCUCUCGAUUCUCCCCUCCAAAUCCAACAAUUACCACAGCAAAUCAAACCUAGAUUUUCACUUGAGCUUCUUCACAAACGUUAAGAGAGAGAAACUGGAAUUCGAUUUGAAGGAGAGAGAAAAAAAUUACCUAAGAAAUGGUGUUUGGUUUUGGAUAGAGAGAGAGAGAAGAUCCGAAGCUGUGUUGUGUCGUAAUUAAUUUCUUCAACCACUUGUCUUGGUCUGUCAUUAGUCGAGUGCUUUGACUGGUUUUAGUAAAUUUAAGAUGAGUAUCCGGUGCGGGCGAGACCACCGUAGUCUUGUAUUGCCACCACUUUAUUGUUUGUUUAAUGGUAGUAGAGUAGACAUUGUUGGCCCGGCGGCUACUGUAUGUAUUUUUAGCACAUGCUACAUUCUAAAGUUGAGAAUAUAAAGUUUAUUGGGACUUUGGAGUUUGUAUUCAAGACUAAUUAUUUGAUUUUUGUAUACGAUUAUAAUAAGUGCAAAAGUACAAAACACAUCACUGUAUGACCGGAGAUAAGAUUCGAUGUGGUUUUAUAAUGUAGAUUACAUGAAUUAAAAGAUCUAAUUGCAAUGGUAAACGAUUAGGUUCACAGAUUUCUUUAUUUCUAUGUUAACUUUACACAACACCUUUAAACGCUAACCAUCACUAUUUUUUCACAUAUUAUUCUAAUUGGUGUAGCUAACUUUAGUCUUGCUAAGGUUUUACGGUACUGGCAUCAAUUUAAUUUAAAGUACAGACCGCACUUUAUACUGAUUGUAAUAUUAUAAUUUUCUAUGCUAUUUAUAGUUUUGGGUUAUAGGCGGUUAACAAACAUAAAAUUAUACAAAUCAAGACACCAUAUUUUAAUUUAAAUCAAACUGGUUAUUUCUGUCUGAAAAAAAGUUGCAACAAAUAUCGUUUUCAAUAAACUGUAAUAUAAAAACUCCAGUUUUUUUUUGAAAACCUAUGACAAUAUUACGUCCAUAAGAUUCAACCAAGUUCCAUAAUUUUUCAAACUUGUCACUACAUUGCAAUAUUACACGAUCAUGAAGAGAAGAAGGCAUUAUCAGUUAACUGAAGAAGAACUUAACUCAACAUAUAUUUAGCAAAAGAUUUGGAGAUAGUAAAAACCGAUCCACUAAUCCUCGAGAUAGUUUGUUGAGAACAGACAUUACUUUCCCCUGUCAACAUAGAAAUGGAUGAUUGUGUUUUCAGUUUCUUGAACAAGUUGCUACAUGAAAAAAAAAGAGAAAGGACAAAGUAGAGAUUGUGUUAACUUACGUGUUCAUCAUCAGAGUUAUGUUGUCUCCUUUGAGUAGAAUCCUUCCUGCAAAUAGUCAUUUACAUUCGAGUUACUGAAACAAAAGCAAACAAAUCAAAUUAGAGACUUGUUGUCAAAGAGUGAGUCCUCACCAAGUGGUUUCCUGGUGUUCUUCUUGAUGCUCACUUCUUCAGCUUCAUCCAACACUAGGUUCAUGUACUCGUCAAAACCCUGUUGAAAAGGAGAGAAAUUGAAACAAGGAAUCAACCAGAAUGUCAUGAUCUCAAAUUUGUCCGAACUAACAUAGAUAUGUGGGAAAAAAAGUAUAGCGAUACAAAAGUGAAAAGGAACAUCUAAAGUCAGGUAUGUUUAAGAUUUAAACCAAUGAGGAUGCCGACAUCAUUUAUCUCAAGUUUCUCUUAACUAGCACAGAGUCAAUUUAAGAAAGGGUUGAAUUUCUAUAACUCAGAAUAAUAAAAGUAUAGGAAUAAAAAAUGAUUUCAAAGGGAUAUACAAAAUCAAUUACGCAACUCAAUGUUUUAAACCAAUGAGAAUGAUAUAAUCACAAAUCUAAAGACACCUCGAAAGAAAGAAAAAUAACACUCCGAAGAAAACUUUAGCCUUAACCCGAGAAGAAGUGAAACGAGGAACAUACAAAGUAGACAACUCCAAGUUUUAGGAGAAUGAGAAUGACAAUCUUAAGUUUCUCUGAAUGAGCACAUAGUCUAAAAAAAGAUUCAGUCUUUAACUCAAGAGAAUAAAACACUGUAUCCAAGUGAAAGUAGGCAACUACAUAAUCAAGUAAUAACAAUGACACAAUCAUCUAUGUCACAUUUCUCUGAAUUAACACAGAAUCAACCCUAAAGAAUAGCUUCAUUUAUAACUCGAGAAGAAUCAAAGGAAAGCAAUACAAAUUGAAACAAGGAACAUCCAAAGUCAAGUAAGCAAUGACACAAUCAAAUUUUUUUUUUUUUUUUUGAAAGAAACACAAUCAAAAUUCUAAAAACACUCGGAAGAAACUUCAACCUUUUUUUUUGGUAAAAAGAAAACUUUAACCUUAAACCAACCAAGAAGAAGUGAAACGAGGAACAUAAAAAGUAGACAACUCCAAGUUUGAAGGGAAUGAGAAUGACAAUCAACAUCUUAAGUUUCUCUGAAAGAGCACAUAGUCCAAGAAAAGAUUCAAUCUUUAACUCUGAGAAGAAUCAAAUGAUAGCAAAAUACUGUAUCCAAGCGAAAGCAGGCAACACACUCCUGAAGAAUCAACCCUAAAGAACAGAUUAAGUUAUAACUUGAUUAGAAUCAAAGGAUAUCAAUAAAAAUUUGCAACAAGGUAUACAUUAUUCAAAACUCGAUUUUCAAACAAACUAAACGCGAUGAAUCUCAUAAAUUCAUAGCUCCAUUACUAACAAAUUCAACAAGCAAAGUGAAAACUUACAGUAAUCCUUCCUUCAAUCCUCAGAUCUUUCUGCUCAAAUAGCCAAAUCUGGAUCCUAGCUUUCUGCAUCAUUUAACGAAACCACGAAUCAGAACCACGCAAAUCAAUGCUUCUCCAAGUAAAGCAAAAGUCAAGAAGGAGCUUACACUUUGAAGAAACCUAAAAAUCAAGUUCUGGAUCCGCCGCCGGAAAACAAAGCGAAACUCAGUCAAUUAACAGACAGAAAGUAAAUCAAAAUCGAAAUCAAAGAGAGAGAAGAGUAACGUACGAUAGGUUGGGUCAUAAUCCUCUGAACUUUGGUGCUCGCCAUCGCUGCCUGCCGACGUUUGAUUUCUCUCUCUCGACGCUUCGGGGGAAAAAGAUCAAGUUAAACCCUAGAGAGACUGACGGAGAGGAGAGAUACGCUCUUUAUAACAUUUUUUAUUAAAAUUCGUUUUUGGUCCUUAUAGAUCUUUCAAAUGUAAUUUUAGCCUCGUAUAAAAUAAUACGACUAUUUGAAUCUGUCUGUGCAACAGAUCUUAUUCUGGAUAGAAUUUUCAUACUUGGUUUAGUUCAUUCAGUUAUUCAAAACAGAUAACUAUUUAGUGGUUUACAUUUUUAACUCAUUCAUUAAUGGUCAAUUGUCAAUAAUAGCACAUUUUGAAGUUUAUGUUUCAAAAAUGGCAUUAGAAGGAGAAAGUCACAAAAUGGUAUUCAUUAAAGGGUAAAAUAUCUAUAAUACUCUUGGUUUAAAAUUAAAUAAACAAAAAAAUAAAUAAAAUAAAAAUAAAUAAAAUGAUUUUUUUUUUAUAGUUUCAGAUUAUAUGUUUUCACAUUCGAAAUUUUUAUAAUUUUUUUUUGAAAUUUUCUUUUUGAAAUUUUUUUUUAUUUUUCUUUCAAAUUUUCUUUUUAUAAUUUAAAAAUACUUUUUGAAACGGUUUUAAAAAUUUUUAUUUUUUAUUUUAGUAUUUAUUAUUUAUAAAAUUUUAAACCCUAAUUCCAAAACUCCACUCCCCUUGACUCUAAACCCUAAGGUUUGGAUUAAUUAACCCAAUGGGUAUAAGUGUAUAUUUACCUCUUUAAUAAAACCUAUUUUUGUGACUUUGAGUCUUGAGUGCUACUUUGGGAACAAAAACUUGGUUUGGUGCUAUCUUAGUCUUAUUCUCUUUAUUAAUUUAGCAAAUCCUGCAAGAUUAGUGAAACAUACAAUGGUAUUGUUGCCAUAAAAAUUCGCUAUGAUUUUUAUUUGUUCUACAAUUUAAAUAAAAUUUGAUUGUAAUAUUGGGAUUAUGAGUUUCUGAUGGAUAUCAGAGCGACUGCAAUGGAGGUCCAAGUGUGAUCCUUAGGCGUAAUCCUUAGGUUAGUGAUAAUAUAAUAAUAUUAAUUAUCCGACUUAAGCUAAGGAUUGACCCGUCGCGAAGGGUUUUAAGGAUUUGAUCCUUGUGUACGUGUCAUGCGUUGAGUGGGCCGGUUUCGUUCGUGUUGCGUUGGGUCAAAAAUGGUUAACUCAUUUUCGACCGACCGCGUAGAAAAAAAGGGGCUCUCGAGAGAAAGGCGACAGGAAGGGCGAUUCCUCUCCGUGUGCUUUACGAAGGUAGAUCUCCCCGUUUUCUUCUUGAUUCCUCUGAUUUUUCGAUUCACACCACGUUAUCUUCUUGCUUUGUCUCAAUCUGGUUGGGUUAUGGGGUUUGAAUCGUUUUCGUUUAAUGAUUAGGGUUUUGGGGUUAAAAUUAGGGUUUCAAAACGAUUUGGGGAGAGGGGUUUUGAGCUGGUUCAAUCGAUAUGUUCUCUGUUUCGUUGCUAGUUGAUUCCGUUUGAUUAGGUCGUUGAUUCCGGAUAGAGUAGGUCGUUGAUUCCGUUUGAGUAGUUCGUUGAUUCCGUUACAGUAGCUCGUUAAUAUUUAGUUUUUGCUGAUGAUUAUACGGUUUCUACUGGGGUUUUUGGUUGAAUUCAAACCGCUAACUAAUUUGUUUUUAAGCUCGUUCACUCUUCUUAUAACUUUCUCUUAUUAGUUCUCGUUGAAAUCGUUUUUUGAUGAUGAUUAUUGAUGUCUAGCUAUGUUCUUACUUAAUUUCUUUCAGGUUAUCGAAAAUGGGACAAGAUUACAGCUAUAGUCAGCCCUCUUCAUCAUCAGAGUCUCUAGACAUAACCUCUCUUCUUGAAGCCGAAUGUCAGAUGUACGCGGAUGAAGCUGACAGUGGCUACUGCAAUUCAUUGCCGGUUCAGUACCCACGUCAACCAGAGGCUGAUGAUGGAAUUCCCACGACAUGUUACUGUGGAGCUCAGCCUGUUCUCGGAUGCUCUUACAUUGUCUUUACGUGCGACAAUGCGGAUGAUGGAGACUGCCACAUUUGGAAAUGGUGGGAAGUGGCAGUAAUGGAGGAGAUGAUGGAGUUUCAGAGACAACUUAGGGAUCUUAAGGUCCAAGGUUAUGAGAGUGAGCAGAAGGUCCUUCACCUUGAGAAGACGGUACAAGAGUUUUCCAAGAACAAAUCAGGAGUUAAGCUAACGGUCUGUCUGUUAGUUUUAAUAGGUUUCCUGUUAUUGAUUGUGCGAGGCAAGUUCUCUCCUCUGUUUCUUUGUAUUUUCUUAAAUUUUGAUGAAAACUUUUAAUGUUGUAUCUCAUGUUUUUUUCCAGGAAUCAUUGGAAAGGUUUCAAAGGAGAGUGUCGGUCCUCGGGAUUUUCUGUAAUAAGGUAUGAUAUUUUUUAAAAGUCAAUACUCUUGUUGUGUUUGAAAUGGACUUUAGUUUGCUUGUAACUUGCUAUCUGUUCUGAUUUGAGUUGCUUUAAUUACAUAGUUAGGAAUUAAUUCCGCCUUGCUUUGGUGUUAAAUGAUAGUUAUUUGCUUUCCAUCUACCCAACUGCUCUGAUUUGAUAGGCUUUAAUUAGUAGGAAGUUAGCUUACUUAAGGGUCUUUGUCGGUAGAAUAAUGUCUCACACCAACUUGUAAACAUGGCUAACAUUUCCGGGUAUGUAAACCUACUAACUAGUCAAAUCCCCAUUGACCUUGAAUCACCCGGUAGCCAAGUUCCCGAUGAGCCUGGUGACAAGAUUAGGAGGAAAUGGACUAUCACAGAUGAUAAAAUCCUUAUUGGUGCGUGGCUUAACACCAGUAAGGGCCCUGUGGUGAGCACUGAACAGAAAGCUGAUGCUUUCUGGAACCGUAUCGUUGACUACUACAACGCAAGCCCUCUCCUGGUGGGUACUGAACCGAGGAAGCUUCGUCCUUGCAAGCAGCGGUGGGCUCGUAUAAACGAGCAAGUAUCCAAGUUUUCUGGAUGCUAUGACGGGGCUUUGAGAGAGCAGAGAAGUGGGCAAAAUGAUGAUGAUAUCAUGAAAGCGGCUUUAGACAUUUUCUUCAUUAAUAACGGCUACAAGUUCGUCCUGGAUCACUGCUGGAGGGAGUUGAGGCAUGACCAGAAAUGGUGCGCAACUCAUACGGCUAAGGACGGUGGAAAGGAGAAGCGGAAACCACCUAUGGAGGGUGAUAGAGAAGAAGGGGGACACGGAGAACCAGAGGGUAGACCUCCCGGGGUAAAGGCUGCCAAAGCCGGAUGUAAGAAGAAGAAGAGUGCUAGGGAGGAGGAGUUGACGAAGCUAGAGGCUGUUUUAGCAACUAAAGAAAAGAUCUCUAGACAUAAACUCCUAGAUCGUUUACUCGCGAAAACAGAGCCACUCUCAGACAUGGAGACUACUCUAAAACUCAAACUAAUGUCGGAAAUGUUGUGAUUUAUUAGUCUUGAUUGUAGGUAUUAAUUUUGUUUUGUGAAGUUGGGACUUUUAAAUUGUUUUCUAUCGUACUAACUGUUGUCUUAUUUGAUGUGUCAGGACCGUGAAGGCAUGUGAACCAAGUCACGGGUGCGUUGGGAGGUCUGAAAGUGUUUUGGUCGUUAGCGGAUAUGAAGCAAGUCACGGAAUCUUCUGUUCAAGUCUAGUAUUAUAAGUAGUUCUCUUUGUUGCUCCACUUUGAAAACUUGUAUCCUUUUGGUUCUUUAUCUUUGUUAAAGAAGUAGAAGCAGUAGUUGUAUCCUCUUCGUAGAAGAAGAAGAAGUACUUGUAUCCUCUUGGUAGCUUCUCUUUGUAUCCACCCUCGGUAUUAGGUAACACUUAUCACUCUUGGUGCUUAAUCUUUCUGAACGUAAAAGUACCUUGUGUUGUUAUAAUCUUUCUGAACGUGAAAGUGUUACAAGUGUUACAAGUGUUAAUCCUCGGUAUUGCAUUUUAUGUUAAACUGAAACAAGUGUUGCAUUUCGGUUUUGUUAUAAUCUUUCGGAACGUGAAAGUACCAUGAAAAUGAAAGAGAGUAAAUAAAAGGAGACCAGAAACAUGUGUUGCAUUCUAUAAUCUUUCUGAACGUAUUCAUAGUCGUAUAGUUUCAUAGUCAAACAAUCAGUGGUUUAGGACAGUUAUUCAUAGUCGUAUAGUUUUCAAACCGCUAACAAAUUUGUUAUCGUAAAUUUUUAGAAUUUUGUUUUUACUCUUGCCUUGUAUACAUUAGAUUACAAAUAACUUGAUGGCACAUUCAUAUUAUUUUAUUAGUUCGCAAUCGGGAUUUGAAUUUUCUCAAAGUGAUUUAAGUAUAGUUGGUCACAUGUAGACGUCUUAAAUGGUAAUUUUUUUGAAUUUUCACAUGUCUCAUAAACUAAUAUAGGUUUCAGUAUGAAAUUCUACUACUAACAAAAAAAAGUUAUGAUAACAAAUUUCAAAAUGCUGUUGUAAUGUAUAUAAGUAACCAAUACGUAUAAUUUUGGGUUUACGUAGGGAUAAGAUGUCAUCAUCCUCAUCUGACAACGUCGAUGAAAGAUUGGACGAAAUUAUCGACGAAAUUGUUGAUGAUACAUACAAUGACAUUGUGGAGUCCCAACCCAAUAAGCAGAAGAGGCGUGCUUAUGUAGAGCGAAACCGUGAAGUAGGACACGACCGUUUAUGGAAUGACUACUUCAGCGAACAUUCAACAUUUUUGGCCCAUUUAUUCAGACGCCGGUUCCGCAUGAGUAAGGAUUUAUUCUUGCGUAUAGUGGUGACCCUUUCAGAGAACAUUCGAUUCUUUACACAAAGAAGAGAUGCAACCGGGAGGUCUGGUCUUUCUCCACUACAAAAAUGUACGGCGGCUAUUUGUCAACUAGCUUACGGUUCAGCGGCUGACGCUGCAGACGAAUAUCUUCGACUUGGUGAAAGCACGGCUCUUUCAUGUUUACACCAUUUCACUGACGGAAUAAUACAAUUAUUCGGAAAAGAGUAUCUACGAAGGCCCACACCAGAGGAUCUUCAACGGUUGCUGGAUAUUGGAGAGAAACGCGGGUUUCCUGGGAUGGUGGGAAGCAUUGACUGCAUGCACUGGGAAUGGAAGAAUUGCCCAACCGCUUGGAAAGGACAGUACGCACGUGGCUCGGGAAAACCGACAAUUGUCUUAGAGGCUGUGGCUUCACAAGAUCUUUGGAUUUGGCACGCUUUCUUCGGUCCACCAGGUACUUUAAACGAUAUUAAUGUCUUGGAUAGGUCUCCUGUUUUUGAUGACAUUUUCGAAGGCCGAGCUCCCACGGUAGAGUAUGUGGUCAACGGACACAACUAUAACUUGGCUUACUAUCUCACUGACGGUAUCUAUCCCAAAUGGGCAACCUUUAUCCAAUCUAUCACAAGUCCUCAAGGCCCUAAGGCAGAAUUAUUUGCUAAAAAACAAGAAGCAACCCGGAAAGAUGUGGAAAGGGCUUUCGGAGUAUUGCAAUCUCGAUUUGCGAUUGUGAAGAACCCGGCUCUUUCAUUGGACAAACAGAAGAUUGGGAAGAUUAUGAGAGCAUGUAUUAUACUAUACAAUAUGAUAGUCGAAAAUGAACGAGAUGGUUACAUUCGGUACGAUGAUUAUGAAUUUGAAGAAGAAGACGGCCCAAGAAGUUCACGGGUCGGUAACAACAUGCCUACAAAUAUCCAUAAUAUUAUCGGCAUCCGGAAUGAUGUUCACGAUACCCAGGCACAUCAUCGAUUGAAAUAUGAUUUAAUAGAAAAUAUUUGGAAUAAAUUUGGUGAUUCAUAAUCAUGUUGUAUUUUUAAAUUUAAUAAUCUUAAUUAUUUAUAAGAUCUCAUGUUGUAUCUUUAUAUUUAAUCAUCUUUUUAUUUAGACAUGUUUUAUUAAAAUUUUCCUAUCUAAAUUUUCUUUUUUUUUUAAAAUAAUAUAUUUAUAUAUCUAAGGACUCCGGAAUGAGACUCACCAUUGGACUCACCAUUUCGAUUCGGAUCCUUCACUAGUCAAACAAAAACAAAAAAAAAAUUAAUAUUUAACUACCUAAGGACUCCGCAAUGGGACUCACCAUUGCGGAUGCUCUCAUAUGCGGCAUAAACGGUAUAAAAGAAGUAAAAUAUUUUUUAUUAUUACUAUUAUUAUUAUCAACCAAACCAUUGAUUAUUAUUUAUUACAGUGGUCUACCAAAUCCCAAAACAAAACAAAACAAACAAUCCAUCCAUGCGACUAUACCAUUUUAUGUGCGUCUCUUUAAAGAAUUCAAGGCAAUGCUCAUGCUCCUAUAAGCGAAGUAGUGGGUAGUGUCGUAUACUCAACAUCCCGCAGCCUCUCAACGUCUUCACCGUGGGGGCUCUUACAUUGGAAAUAUGCAACGGUGUAAGUCAUAAGUAAAAACAUCGCCACAAAUGUUAACACCGCUAGAUACAAACCGGUGGCUAAGGUAAAUGACUGGCUCCUAUCGACCGAUAGACUCACUAGAGCCACGAUCUGAGCUAAACCAAAGAUCAAUAAACCGUAGAAAAUAUUCAAGAGGAAUAGUUUUGGCUUCAUCCCUUUAACAAUCUUUGCAGCUUCUCCCAAAGCUUGUAUCCCAUAAGUUUCCUCCAGUACUGAUAUGACAAUAGAUAGGUACCAGACAGUAGCUAAAUAAGACGCAAACAAUAAGAACAGAACGAGUAAAACGAAAAUCUUGGAUACCAAGGAAAACAAGGAAGCAAUACUCAAAGAUGACAAAAGAAUAGGAAAAAUGAUUAUAAGGAAGAACAAGCAAUAGCCAAGACUAAAGAGAGAAAUGUAGAAAGAGGUCACAAGAGGUCCCUUCCAAGAUUUAAGAAUUAGAACCACAAAAUCUUUGAACUUGACGUUCUCCUUUUUAUAAGUAAGAGCUGAAGCGUGGACGAUGACUAGAACGGAUAAUAUGUUGAUGAUGAAGGAGACAGCGUUAAAGAUGUCUGAAGAAACGACAAAUAGGCGAAAAUCUGCAAAGACCUUCAUAAGUUGGGCCAUGUAUUCCGGGCUGCUAGGAUCCAUCGUAGGUAACAAAUUUAAAUCUUGAGUCAAGUUUGUUAUCUCGGGUGUAAUAGUAAGGACGUUGAAUAAGUAAAGUAAACCAUUGAGCACGAGAUAAAAUACAAAGACAGAGAACAUCAGCUUCUUGUUCUUGAGAAAGAGUUUGCGGGAUUCGUUUAACAUACCCACCACCUCCUUUAGAAGUUUCCAAAACGAAAAUAGACCCAUGGUUUACAAGAAAGAAAGAAAAAAAAUGAAAAACUUUUGGAUAUUGGUUUUGGAAAUGAAGGUGAGGAUUUAUAAGAUCACAUAUUCAUACCCAUCAUCUGUUUAUAUACUACUAAGUUAGUGGUACUAACUACUAACCAUAAGGCUGAUUGAUUGGUUCGCUACUUUUCAAUGGAGGAAAAGUCUUUGGUUUGUAUUUCUUCAUCCAAAAUUAUAAGAUAAAAACGAAGACUUAGACAUAUAUAAUAUAACACGUCGAAGAAAAAGUCUAAACAUGACUUCCUGAUCGCGACAUAAAAAGAGAGGAAACGAGAGGUAACAUGUUCAACUGGCCAUCCUCAAACACAUGAUCGUGACCAAUACGCGCUUUCAUAAAUCCGUCUUGAAACAACGGUCAAGCAACACCGUCUGAAUGUGAAAUAUCGAAACGUCUACAUAUAUAUAUAAAUCUUAUAUAUACAAAUAUAAUUAAAUAUUUUUUUUACCAAAAUGUGAUAAUGUCAAUUAUACGCUAAUAUAAUUGACAAAUCACAAACCUAACCCUAAGAUCAUUUUGCCAGUCCCGAAAAAACGACAAAACCGCAAAAAUGUAUAUUCUCGCCAAAACCACACAAAAAAUAUUUUUCCGAUAAAAACGAAAAGUCGUAUUUUUACUCGCCAAUACCAAAAAUUUCUUUUUCCAGCAAAAACAAUAAAAUUUGUUUUUCCACAAAAACUUUUUCCCAUCAAAACUAAAAACUCUCGUUUUCAUAUCAAACCGAAAAUGGCACUUUCCCACCCAAUCCGAAAAUAUCCGCCAAAGCAAAAAAAAAAAUUUUCUCGUCAAAAUAGGAAAAUCUCAUUUUUUUCUCUAAAUCAGAAAAUAUUGUUUUCCAGAAAAAACCAAAAAUCUCAUUUUUCUACAAAAACAAAAAUAGCAUUUUCGUGCCAAAACCGAAAAACACAUUUUCACGCCAAAACAAAAAAUAGUGUUUUCCUGCCAAAACAAAAAAAAAAUCAUGUUUUCCUUCAAAAAUCGAAAAUCUUGUUUUCCGCAAAAAAAAAAUGUCGCUUUCCCUCGAAACAAAAAAAACGUUUUAUCGUCAAAAUUGGAAAAUUACAUUCCCUCAAAAACCGAAAAAGUCUUGUUUCCGCAAAAACCAAAAAUUGCGUUUUUCGGCUAAAACUAAAAAAAAUCUCAUUUUUUGCAAAAACCGAUAAAAAUCGUGUUUCCCCGUGAAAACAAAAAAAUGCGUUUCCACCAAAACCGAAAAAUCACAUUUUCGCAAAACCAAAAAAAUUGUGUUUUCCGCCAAAACAAAAAAAAACACAUUUUCCCGCUAAAAGCGAACAAUCUUGUUUCCCGCAAAAAUCAAAAUCGUGUUUUCCCGCCAAUACCAAAAAAUGAAUUUUCCGCAAAAACCUAAAAAUCUCAUUUUCCGCCGAAAAUCAUAUUUUGCUGCCGGAAAAUCAUAUUUUCCCGCCAAAACCAGAAAAUGUUAUUUCCCGCAAAAAACUGAAAAAUUCAUUUUCCCGUCAACAUACAAAAUUGUGUUUUCAAAAAAAAUUGUGUUUUCUACUAAAACCAAAAUUUCAUUUUUUUCCUCAAAAAUUGAAAAUUUUACUUUUCCCGAAAAAAACCUGAAAACCUAAUUUUAAUAUAGUUUCAAUGUAAAUAUAUUACUAAAUAAUAAAAGUCAAUAUAGUUAAAAUUAUCAAACAUUUGAUUAAAUCAAAACAAGUGUAUAUUAGUAAUUUGUAUACUAAAUUCAUAUGGAUGGAAAUAGAAAUAAAGAAACUAACAUAAGUCAUUUCUGAUGAUUCAUCUAGAUGAACCAUCUGGAUGGACAAACAAACAGUCCCACAAAAUUUGAAUGGAUCAUCUGGAUGGAUCUUACAAAUGGAUCGGCUAGAUGGAAAUGACAAAUUGUGAAACGAACCACUCCUUGGUUUACUAUUAGAUAAAUAAAGGAGAAAUAAAAAUACAGGCCAAUUGAGUGGCAUUGUUAAAGAAGGAGAAAGAGCCCAACAUGACCCAUUAUGACAAUCUAAUUGCCUAAUACAUUUUCUUAAGAAAAUCAUAUACAUAAUGAAGGAGUUUACUCUCGUUUGCCCUCAUUUUGUAGUGACAAUAGCCCUCUUUUUUUUGUCUUAAAAUUCUGUCACAAUAGCCAUCUUUUUUUGUAGUGACAAUUAUGAAAAUUCUGUCACUACAAAAAAAGAGGGCUAUUGUGACAGAAUUUUGAGACAAUUUUGUUUUGUCACAAAUCUGCGACAUUCUAGAGACAUUAAUGUGACUAAAUUUUUCAGUCAUAUGAUAGUAACUGUUUAGUCACAAUAUUGUGACAAUCUAAGCCGUAGUUAAUUUUCGUCACAAACUGUGACAUUCUAGAGACAUUAAUGUGAUUAAGAAGUUGUAGUCAUAAAAUAGCAACUGUUUAGUCAUAAUAUUGUGACGAUCUAAGCCGUAGUUAAUUUUCGUCACAAUUAGUAACAUAACUAUGACAAAAAGAGAUUUCGUAACAAUCGUGACAUAGAUCUUUUAGUAAUAUUCAUUGUCGUUUAUGUAAUAUAGUUAUAUAAAAUUAAAUGGAAGUGUUAGCAAACCUAUGUUAUGGAAACAAAAUAAAUAAAAUGGCAAUGGAGAGAUAUAAAUUUAGUGAUGCCAAGUUAAAGAAGGAUUAUGUUUGUAUGGGAAAUAAGAAAAUAAUUCUUACUGGAAUUUUUAGCCCUUUCUCAGAAAAAAAUUCUUACUGGAAUUUUUAACUAGAGAAACAGUUUUCAAUUUUAGGAGAGUAUAAAAUUUAGUAGUUGAAGAAAGACGGACGAAAUAAGCACCAACUGUCAUUACUCUUCGGUCAUUGAUAUCCAAAGAUUAUCGGUCAUUACUCAUUAGUACCCAAAGAUUUAAUUUUACAAAGGAGUAUAAGAAAUUAAUUAGAGAAUCAAAGUGGUGCGAUAAAUCCCGGUAAAUAAGCAUUAAAUCCGGGUUGUUACCGUAAUAGGCACCAAACGUUAUUACUCAUUAGUAUCUAAAGAUUUAAUUGAAUACAAUAUAUAAAAAAAAUAAACAAGUUAACAACUUACUCUCUUCCUCAUUCACAAGUUUACCUAAAAACCUAAGAACUGUUCUUGUACAAAAUUGAAGCUGUCUCUUUUUUGGUUUCUAAAUUUUCACAAUCACUAAUUUCAGUUUGCAUUACGUAUGGUUAAUCUUCUGUAGGAGGUGUACAUUUUCAAUCAGUUCUUUAAACUGCUUGUUGUAUUGAAUCUCAAUUUUUUUGGGCACUUGUAGAUACAUCUUCUAAUCAUCGGUGUGCGCCUUUAUGAGAGAGGAUCAAAUUCCCAGCCUAUCGAUUUUGGAAGACCUUUUUCUCUUGGACUUUAUCAAGAAGAGAAACGAGAGUCAACCCAUAUAAGAUCACUCGACAAGAUCACAAACCUCCCAAGAUGGCCAGUUUAUAAGAUCGAGAUUCUGUUAAUAAGGCCGGUGCGGAAAUAACACUACAAGAUUUGAUGAAUCUAUUCAUUUGCUUUCCUCUGCUUCUGGGAUUUUCUUCUUCGUUUAGUUUAUUCUUUCUGAUAUUGUUUAACAGACUCUUGUUCUAUGUAUAAUGUAGUAUAUUAUAAUAAUCUUGACAUCUAUGUAAGUUUUUGUGUAUGUUUUUCUUUUAAUAAUAAUUUCCUAAUUGUGUAGUUCUGAUGAAAAUUGUAUAAAUAAUACUAAUACGGAGCUAACAUAUUUAAUACAAAAUAUUAACAGUUCAUAUACGUCAAAUUAGUAGCUAUAUUUAAAUGUGACAAAGUUUUAGUAAUAGGGAAACCAAAAUGACCGAAUUGAGAAAUUGUAAUAAUACUGAUAAUUUGAAUGACGGAUUCAAGACUUUUUUUAGUAUGUAAAUGUAACGAACUGAUGACAAUGCUGUAGGCACUAUUUAGUAAAAUUAGUAACUAAGUUAUGUUGCAAUUAAUUACAAAAUGGAAACAUUUUAGUCGUCACCAAAGCCAAUGUUUUUAAGACCAGAUUUUUAGUCAAUAAUUGUGACGGUUUUGUUACUUUUAUUUUUGUCACUUUUACUGACAAACUAGUUACUAGAAUUAUUUGUUACAAACUAAGACGUCUUUUUACCGCAUAAAUUUGUGAAGACAUUAUUGCGACUAUUCAUAAAUGGUAACAAUUCUGUCACAAUAGUUAUAUUGUUACGGAACUAUGUUUAUUGUGACUAAAAAAUUUGUCACAAUAUAAAUAUUUUCUUGUAGUCCUAAAGUGUCAACCUCAACAUUUUUGUUGGUCCCACCAAAAAAAUUUGGGUUAUUAAUUAUUAAUUUGGGGUUUUCUAAUUUUUCCUUUAUAUAUAAUUGUAUAUAUGAACACACUAUUUUUUUUAAGAGCGAUUUGCAUAGUAAAUAGCAACUAAUUUGAUAAUUUGUAAAGAUGGAAGAAUCGUUAGCUCAACCGUGAGGCCCAUGUCCAAAGCUUGCCAAAUGACCAUUUUAUCCAUACUUCUUUGUCAUUUACAGAGGAAACGUAUGAGUUUUGUAAUGAUGACAUACAUGCAAUUAUAAUUUAGUCUAUAUAUACAAACAACGUAAGUAUUUGUGUAGCAUGUACAUGUCUGAAAAUAGCCAGCAAAUACUGACUAAUACAACAACACUAAUUGGCUAUAUUUUUUUUGGAGAUUUGAUCAUUACAUAUACAAAUAUGCAUACCAUACAAUCGAUAUAUCGUGUAUACCAUUUCUGCAACGAUCAAUACAUCGCUUCACAAGAAUUUGUUUCUCUAUUUGAGGGUUUGACAUCAUUUCAAUUUUUACAGAAAUCAACUACAUAAAUAAUGGUAUUUUACAUAAAGAAGAAGCAGUAGAUGUAUGAUCAUUGUGAUGGUCCACAAUUUCACUUGCCUUAGAACUAUAUGUGUUUUACCGGGAAAUAGUUUCUUAGUUAAAAAUUUUUGUUUCUUCACAAGCCAGAAUUUCAUCUCGGGCGAGAUUUCGGUGAGUCACAUCGAAAUUCGCCGUCUCAAAACACCCGAUUUGAGUUAGUGGUCGGCUAAUCUAAAUGUAUGUAUAUAAUAUAUACCAAUCAAUACUAUUAAAAUAGAAGACCCUUUUUUAAGGUGCCCUUUUGUUUCAACAAUAUUUACAAUUUUUUGCCACUGGAUUAUUUAUAAGCUAUGCUUUUAAUUAAAAUCAGUAUUUUAGUAAUUCUUUUUAUUCAAACAGCAAGCAAGGGAAUAUACCCUAAAUCCCUAAUAAUACUAAACGACAUCUAUUCUGUUUGAUUUUAUAUCACUACUGUUGAUUGUCGAAGAUAAUAUAGAUGAAGCUUGAUACAAAUGGUUUCGAGACUUCCAUUCCUACGAUUGGCAACAAUAUGCUUGAUGAUUUUUCUAUUCUGUCCUCCACUGAUCUUCCCCGAACAACAUAUGUGAAUUUUAUUUCUUUGAUGAGAUUCUUUUGUGUUCAUCCGCUAAGCAGUGUGGGUUGUUGAUUUUAGUUUUUGUUUGGGUUUCAGUUUGAUGAGUUUAGUAAGAAGCUGUACAGAUGGUGACGCCUGCUGAAGGAACAACCACACUCGAUUUUUUCUUCUAAGGUGUCAUGGUCGCUGCUGAUUCUCGGGCUAGGAGAGGAGGUGAAUCAAUCGAGAUGAAGGAAAGCCAACGACUAGGUAUAUACUUCUUUGCCCGAAUUGUGUUUUUUUUUUUGGGAAACACUACCACUUGAUUUUGCUAAGAUCUCACUUUAUGGUUUUGUUCUUGAUUCCAGUGACUUGGUUUCUUUUGUUGAUAAACGUAUUGUUAGUUGAAAUGCAAUUUACUCGCACCUGUUCCAUAUUUCAGUGCUUCAGUGUCAAUGAUCUUUAUCAACAAAGCUGUGAUUAUGCAAUGUCCACACUCGAUGACUUUUCUAACACUUCAGGUACUGAAGAUUUUUAACAACAAAAGGUAUCUCUCUCCUUUCGUCAGUCUACAUUUAUUAUUACUCACUUUCCCCAAUAUUUUUUUAUGAUUUGGUCCUUUUGUUUUCUUCUCUUGGUUGUGUUGGCAAGUGGCUAAUUCAUCGCUUAUACAUUGUGGGAGACAAAAUGGGACACAGCAGAGCCGACGUAAUCAUUUUGGCCACUUCAAAAAAGCUUCUCUGCGUUUCCAUCAUCUAUAAUGCUAAUGUUGUAUUUGUUCUUGCAAGGUUGAGAUGAUUCAAUAUUUUUUUAUAGAGCAAAUUAGCUCAAUAUACUGAAAAGAGUGGGAUACCAUUGAAUUGGAAGAAAAUGGUAGUGAUGGGGGAAAAAUUUUUGAAGGGAAAUAAUGUAUGGAAUGCAAAUAAGGAGGAAGUUGUGUGUAGGGAGUACAAAUACUCUUUUUUAUAUAUCGCCAUCUAAAAGACUUACUCCUUUUGAUAGCCGGUUAUAUGUUUGGUAAACGGAAUCCAACAACUCAUGUAUAUAAUAUGUUCUGGAACUAGGACUGAUUUAUUACCUUCUUAUAAACUUUAUCAUGUUUCAAACACUGAAUAUCUUGAUCAAAUCAGGUAGCUUCAUAUGUGCCACUAACAGCUGCAGGUUGUUUAAUUUAAAAUUUGGAGAUUUGGUAGAGAAAACAUGUAUAUGGAAUAAUUGUCGUAUAUUUAAUCUAUGACAUUAUUAUCUACACUCCACGACAUAUUGAUACUAUUAACAUAUAGCAUAUUAACAUCUUCGCUAACUGUUAUCUUAACAGGUUGAUAUGGUCAUUUAUAUGAUAUUUGACUCUCUCUUUUUGCCCCACGACAUAUUAGCAAACAAAUAUCUAGAGAGCCAAUUAUAGGAUAUGCUAAGUGAAACAUUUGCUGCAGGCUUCCAAUUUUUCUGAAAAGAUUACAUAAAAAUAGAUUUCAAAAAAAAAUUUUAGGCUCCCAAAUAUAUAAUUUUUUUUUUACAUAGAUACAACUACGUACUCGCAAAAUCUCAGGGCCGGUCCUGAAUAUCUAUAUAAUAACAUUUUAACCAAUAACGCUUCUAUGAUAUUGUAUUGAUAUCCAAGAACACUUCUCAAUAACUCCAAGACAUAUAUGAUAGAGGAUAUAUAUAGAAAAUUUGUCGUAUAAAUAUUCAGUAUUCUACUUGGUAUCUAUUUAAGUAUUUGGUAGAAUAUAGGCUAAAUCUUUUCAAUUUAAAACUAAAGAGAAAUCUGGUUUAAUUAUUCAACAAAUAUUCUCGCACUAAUAACACCAUAUAAUCAAUUUUAUAAAAACUAUUUAAAACAGAAUACUAAAUCUCAGAUCAAACAUAUUGCCGAAUCAACAUUAUUUAGAAUCUCUUUACUGUGGCGAUACUUUUAGCAUUAAUACUAUUUACACAAUAUCUUAACAAACAAUAAGUAAACAAAAUAUAUUUCAAAACAUUUGCAAUCAGCCAGCUUUAAUUUAAUUGCCGUAUAGUAUGAAAUGAAUUACAAUACAAAACGGUUACAUAUUUUUAGACAAACAAAAGAUUUCGUUAAAUUAAAAAAAAAAAUCAAAAAUAUAAGUCUUCAUAUUUUUGGGUUGGCGGAAAAAACACUAAUUUUAAAAUUUAUAAUAUAUAAGUUAUUUCAAAUUCAACAAUUAAUGUCACUUUCAGAAAAUACAUGGUAUUAUUAUAACAAAUAUAAUAAUAAAUAUGUCAAUAUUUAUAUACGUUUAUAAUACGGACACUGAAAAAUUUAAAUAUAUAAAGUAUGUACACAUAUUAAUUUUAAUUAAAUUUUUUGACAAAAAAAAAUUAAUUCUAUAAUGGGAAAUGGGUGUCAAAAUCAAUAUUAUUAAGAUAGAAUAAAAAAAUUGGAUCCAACUUGUGUUUAAAAUUGACUACAACCUUAUACUAUUUAAAAUAAAUAGGUAAAUUUUAUUCUGAAAUUUCGAAAAUUCAUUUUAAACUAUUUUAAUUUUUUACUUUGAAUUUUAAAUAUAUAUAUAUAUUAAUUCAUUAAAAUCUUAAACUCCAUCUCACUCUAAAACUUCAUCGCUCAAGUCUAAACAGUAAGUGUAGAUCAAUUAAUCCUAAGAAUAUAAAUGUUUGUUUAUACGUAAUCCUCGAUUAUACCAUAUUAAACAUAUUAACUUUUGGGAUAUGAUCAAUACAUAGAAUUAAUAUAUAAAUCAUAUAUUUUUUUGCUAAAAUUUAAUAAAUGAUAUUAUAAGAAAAUAAAAAAAGUAAAAUAUGUUCAAAUCAACUUUUUCUAAACCCGACAUAUACAUCAAACACUAUUUUUGGUCAUUAGGUUAUUGUGCUGAUCGCGGGUGAGCCAUUGGUCAAUAAUUUAUUUCAUUUUAUAUAAAUACAUAUAUCAAUAUUAAAUUACAAAAAUCAUGUUUAAAAAAUAUAGAAAAAAUUAAAUCAAUUUUAUUUAAAUUGCUAAAAUAUAAAUAGAUCAUUUAAACGAUUUUCUAACAAGUUGGAGUUACGACAUAAUAAAAAUACAAUAAGAUUAAAAUUAAUAAGUAUUUAAAUAUCUAUGCAAAUAUUGAAAUUAAUUUUUAAAAUUUUAAAAUAACAGUUUAAAUCAAAUACCAUAAAAAAAAUUCAAAUUGGAUUACACAUUUGUCACCUAUUGGUUCAACUGGUUGGCUUCUGGUGCCAGCAUUUUUUUUUUUAGUUUUAUAAGGUUAUAAAAUAAUGAAUAUUUAUUAAAACCAAAAUUGGUUAGAUAUGGAUUUACUGGUUCACAUUUGGGUCUAGAUCCGGUUUAAAAGGGUUGAUUUUAAAUAGAUUUUUUUUUUACAAAUCUAACAAACAUUUAUAACGUUGUUAAUGAAAUUUAUCAUCGUUAAAUAUCCCGCGCUUCCAAAGCGCGGGUCAAAAUCUAGUUAUCCAGUUAUAUUUAGUCGUCGUUGGUUCAUUAGUUUAGUGGUCGACUAAGUUAAAUAAUUAUCUGGACAUUAUUAUUGUUAGUUGGAUCUUUCGAUAAGUAUUUGAUUAUCACUAUAGACUCAAACUUGUAGAUUAUUCUCGUAUCUAAGAAAAUUAAGUAGUGUAUUUCAAUUAUACAUAUAUUUUUAUUGUUAGUUAAAUUUUUCGAUCAGUAGUCAGUUAACUUAAAUAAUUACACGGACAUUAUUAUUGUUAGCUGGAUAAAACUUCUUAAGUAGAACUAAUGAUUUUAUUAGCAGUCGUUUGGAAAAGACACGAGAAGCAAGAACGAAGAGCUUUACACCAUGACUCCUUCUCCCAAAAAAUUUCCAAGGUUGAUGUAAAACACACGAUGUCCUUGUGCAAGUCUCACUCUUCUAUAGAACCAAGGCCAACAAAGACCAAACACACUCAUAUCUUGUUCAUGCAUCUAUGACUUCAAACCAUCGGAGAAUCCUGAAUUCGCUGAAGAGUCAAAAACAGAAAUCUGGAGAAAGCGAGAAGCUUUCAUCGCAAAGCUUCAACGGAUCCGAGGAUGAAGAUUAAUGCAAAUUUCGGCCACAUGAAGAUAAAAUCAGCUAAUAAUUAGAUAACUAUUGAUCUACAAGAUAGACCAAAAAUCUAACAAAAAAAGAACCAUAUCAAUAAAAAAAAGAAACACAAAAAAAAAUUAAAAAGGCACAACGACGAGACUAAAAAGUCGGACACUGGCUGGAAAACGUGCAAAUGGUGGAGACAAAAUUUCUAUAAAAGAGAUGCCGAGUGAAUUAGAAGAAAGGAGAGAAAUAUAUAUUUGUGUUACAAGAAUGAAUGAUAUGGGUUAAACUGCCACUAAAAAAAACAGAUCAGCAAAAAAAUGUGAAGUUUCAUUUUUGCAAAUAAUGCAGUUAUUUUUGUAUAAGAGCUGCAAUUUCUUUAAAAAAAAAUUAUUAUCAUUUUAGAAAAAAUAAAAACCGCACACACUAUAACUGAACACUCCCCAUCUUUUUAUGUAACAGCAAACCUCAGAAUAAACCUCACAGCUGGAACCAACUCUCCAAACUAAGUUAUGUAAAGGUUGCUUCUCUAAAACAUAUCAAGGUCAUUUUUGUCACAAACUUACACAGCCGUACAACUAAAGUGUUCUAAGAUCAGAAUGCCUCUUCACGCGUAAAGAGAAUUCAUAAUGUGUCCUUUUAUGUAACCUUCUCAAAAGAAAUAUUUACUCUCUCACACACUUUUCCAGUUUCUAAUUACACUAAAGGUCACAUUGGACUUGCUACACACUUUUUUGCUGUGUAAAGACAUUGACACCCCUUAACUAAACAACUUACUCAUGACAGACAAAAAAAAAACACCCUUAACUAAAUAACUCUUCUUCCCCACUAGACCUCUAUCUUCUCUAGCUUCAAAAUAACUUUCUCAAUUCCAAUCCCAAAUUAAACAACGGAUGAUAGAUGUGCCAAAAAAUUUGCCUACGAAUAUCAAAUGGGUUGCCUACGGAUGUUGUGGUCACCAAAAAAUUUGCUCAACGUACGUCGUUUCUCUCCGUUUUAUCCUCGGCGAUCCUCCCUGAUGUAUCUGCAAAUCUGAGUCCACUGUCAUCUGGGUCACCAAGAUUAUUAUAAGCUUUUCCAUCUUCUUAAUUGCAUCUCUAUUUCCAUCAAUAAUCGAAUAUAUUUUGUAAUUAGCCCUCUUUGUAAUUUGUUUUCAUAUUCUCCCUUUUUUGUAUCAUUAUUUGAAAUUUAAAACAUAUAUAUAAGAAUCAAACAAGUUAAGAAAAAGAAAACAAAUUAUUUGUAAGAGUCUUUGUUAAUGAAAUAGUUAUGGACAAGAUACUUGUGGACAAGAGAAUUAUGUUAACUUUUUUAUAAAGAAGUUAUGUAAUUGACUAUUUGUGUUUCAAGUUUUUGUACAAUCAAGUGGAAACUCAAGUAUGAAAUGUCUUAGACUUUGUGAUCUUACGAACCAUGUCUGAGAGCAUGUGUACUAAUUCAAGGAUAUCUGAAAACUUUCCUAUCAUCUAUAAUACUCAUGGAUGGGUGAUUUGUGGACAGUGUUUUAUGGAUGAAUGUAUAGUAAAUAGGAUUCUCGUGGUUAGUGUGUCGUGGAUGGUGUCUCAUGAAUAUGUAUGUGAGUAUAUCAUGGAUGAAUGUAUUGUGGAGAGUAUAAACAUAGCCGAAGAGAAACAAGUUACUCACAGCACCAAAUAUUUAAAAACAGGAUAAUCAGAAUACAAAACUUUUAUAAUCGACGCUGAAUGUAUUUAAAUGAUGUUAUGAGCGUAUGAAUCUUAUUCAAGAAAUACUUUCUUCGUCCACAUAUUGCUCUAGUAAAUAUUAAGAGAAUGAAUGAUGUGGCAUUACUUGUUCUACUAUAGUUUGACUGAAGAAGAACUUGCUAGAAUUCAUGAAUACAACUUUGACCAUCCAGAUGAGUCUGUCUUUUAUAAAUUGUACGCAAUGCCACCUAAUUAACUCAUUUGUGUCCAUCAAAUGACGUCCACAUAAUGCAUAUAAACUGUGUCCAGUAAAUUAAUUGCAUUUACUACGAAUGCAUCCACAACAUUAAUUGUCCAUGAACCUAACCACCAGUGACUGAUCCACCACGGACACAUCCAGGACAUUCCACUAUGUUAACUUAAGUUAAAUUUUUAAUAUAAAUAUAAAUAUACACAUGGAUAUCAAAAUAAAAUGAAAAAAAAAUCGUAUUUUUGACAUAUAUACUUAUAUAUAUAUAUACAUAUUUGAGAAUUAGAAACUGAUUAUGGAUCAAAUAUGUUGGGGUAUGAAAAAUUGAUUUAUUGUUAAAAAAUAAAAAAUUAUGUAGAGAAAUACAUCAAACAGCAAACCUCAGAAUAAACGUCACAGCUGGAACCAACUCUCCAAACUAAGUUAUGUAAUGGUUGCUUCUCUAAAACAUAUCAAGGUCAUUUUUGUCACAAACUUACACAGCCGUACAACUAAAGUGUUCUAAGAUCAGAAUGUGUCUUCACGCGUAAAGAGAAUUCAUAAUGUGUCCUUUUAUGUAACCUUCUCUAAAAAAAAACCUCACAGAUAAAAUAUACAUUUGACCCAAAAUAUCAUAUGUAAACCAGAUAACUUAAUCUACUUGCCAAUUUGACUCCAUUUACUCUUUUUUUUUUUUGAAACUCAACUCCAUUUACUUAUACUCCUUUUUAACACUGGUGAUUGGUAAAAAAGAUAAAGAAAAAAAAAAACACUGGUGAUUGGUACAAUGGUUUAGCUUGGCGUCAAUGAUGGUAAUGAUUGUGCUUCCGUGUUUGAGACUGAAAUAACCAAGCUCACCUCAAAACCUGCAUCAAUAUCUCAUUUUCGAGGUAUUUUUGUCCAAACUAAACAACUUCUCUGACUACCAUUAAGUGUAUCAGAAAUCACAACGCAAGUGAAAUAAUAAACUGAGAAUAUAAUAUAUUGUACAUGUUUGAGUGGGCUUGAGGAAAACGAAACAGUUCAUUUUUCAGAUAUAGCAUGAUUAUUGGUUAGAAACCAUGACAGUUUCUAAUAGAAAAAAAAAAUUGAUAUUAUACUUUUUUUAUACUUAACAUUUUAUAAACCAAUUGACAUGUUAGUGGAUUUUUUUUUUUGUCUUUGAGGGUUUUAAACCAAUUGUUAAAAGUUCUGCAUCAAAAGCUUUUCUCUAUCCUCUUUCAUAUUUUCAUUAAUUUUUCUUUUUCUUAAACGAUGAGAACUAUCUCUAUAUACUACCGAUAGAGCUAUUCUACGACUUUCAAAUUCACACUCUAACACCAUGUUUCCAGCCUAAAAAUGACAGAUAAAUACACCAACAAAGAUGGUUCCAUGAUAGAGAAUAGAUUGAUUGUUUAACAUUUUAUUGUCACAAAAUAUAAAAUAUUAUACUGACAAUUGUUUUUAUUCUUACAGGUGACUGUCACAGUUUAGACAGACAUUUCAAAUUAAUAUAAACAUACCCACCACUUCAGACAAUAGUCAGGAUGAAAAAUCACCAAAGAAGAAAAAAGCAACAAAAUCAGAAAACAAGGAAUGGAAAUCCGUCGCGAAUAUGGCUGUGAUAGUGUUUCAAAAUGAUACACAUCCCUCUUCCUCCAUUUUCAGUUCAAUUUAUUUUUCUUAGUUUUAAGAAUAUUAGACCGUGUUUCUCUUAAUCGUUAGUGCCUUUCUGCUAAAAAAAAUUGGAAAAAAACACUCAACAAAAUAGUGAAACUGAAUAAAAUUAUAGAUAGACCCCGCACUUGCUCGGGGUAAAUUACCCUAGUGAAAGUAAGCGAACCCGAUUGUCGAAACAGAAGUCUGAGAGGUACAAACCAAUGGAGAAGAUUGGCAGGAGAGGAUGAUUGACCCAGAGAUAGGUAGCUAUUCAGGAGUUCCAAAGCUGGUACAUAGAAAAACUAAGGUUCGGGUUGGAGAGUCUGAAGCAAGCAAUGCGAUCUCUAACCGUAUUUUCCAAGAGUAAUUUGAGAUUUUGAGGGAGGGAUGCAUGUGAUCGAAAGUUGUUCCGAUGGAUUCUGUUGUUCCUCUUUCCAUCCAGAUAAAAGUAGAUGGUUGCUUGCCAGACAAGGAGAGCUAUUUUCGCUUGCGUUUCGAUUGCAUGCGUCAGGGUGAUUAGAGAUUCGAUGGUGUUCCAGACCAAGUACUCGAAGAACAGGUGAUCCCCUGUCUCGUCAUGUAGCUUGACAAGUUUGUUUGUUUGUUAGCCAUUGAAAUUUGCUUCUUUUCCUCCAUUAGCCAAUAGUUAGAGAGAUUUCCGUUGAGCACAAUCUGUCUGAACCAAGCAACCCAAAUAGAUUUCCCUAAAGGACACCAAAUUAUUAAAUCUUAUGAAAGACCUUAAGGAUAUCUUAUAAACCAAUAAACAAUUAGUCUCCUCAAAGGAAUAAGUCAUCAUCGCAAUGUUGAAUCAACACAUCAUACUAUGAUACUAUCUGACCAAACUUUAAAAAAAAACAAAGCUUCAAAAACAUUAGGAACCAAUAUAAAGAUAAUAACUUACAAAUUUAAUUAGUGUCUAACCACAACAGAGCGCUUACAUAUUUACAACACUAAUUCUCCUAUCACUGCGGACCCAUAAUUUUUUUUCUGGAUUAUUUUUCAAAAAAUAACAUAAAACUUGUAGUUAAACACUUUUAUGAAGUCUAAAGCGAAAAUAUUAUACAAAUCCUUUUUUGAUAAGGACUAGAUGAUUUAGAUAUACAUCAUAAGAUUUAGAUAAGUUCUAUUUCUAACUGAGAUAGAUCUAAGUCUUUUGUAUAUAUACAACUCUCUUGUAAAUCAUUAAGCCACAACACAAUAAUAUACUCAUUCUAGAAUUCUAAAGUUUGCAAACGAAAAUUGCACAUACUUUUUUCCAGAUGGUGAUGCGAAUCUUCGUGGAAACUCUUCGAGGCAAGACCAUACCUCUUCACGUCCGAAGCUCAGAAACCAUUGCCAACGUCAAGACAAGGAUACAAUAUAAGGAAAGAAUCCCUAGGGACAAGCAGAUGCUUAUCUUUAUCGGAAUUCCUAUGGAGGAUCACCGUACCUUGGCUGAUUACAAUAUCGAAAAAGAUUCAACUGUAUACUUGGUUCGUAGGAUGGAAGGUAUGCGAAUCUUGGUAAAGGCUCUUACAGGCAUGACCAUUACUCUUAAUUGUGUCCGAAGCUCAGAGACCAUUGGCGACGUCAAGGAAACGAUACAAUUAAAGGAAGGAAUCCCUAGCGACAAGCAGAGACUUAUCUUUGGCGGCAAGCACAUGGAGGAUCACCGUACCGUGGCUGAUUACAAUAUCCAAAAAGAUUCAAUUCUUUACUUGGCUUUACGAGGAAUUAUGCAAAUCUUUGUUAAGUUCCUUUCAGGCAAGACCAUAGCCCUUUUGGUCCAAAGCUCAGACACCAUUGGCAACGUCAAGGCAAGGAUACAACAUAAGGAAAGAUUUCCUCCCGACCAGCAGAGGCUUAUCUUUGCCGGAAUUCAGAUGGAGGAUCACCGUACCUUGGCUGAUUACAAUAUCCAAAAAAACUCAAGUUUCCACUGUGUUCUCAGGAUGAGUGAAAGUAUGCGUAUCAUUAUAGAGACUCUUGAGGGCAAGACUAUAGCCCUUGAUGGUGUCAAAAGCUCAGACACCAUUGGCAACGUCAAGACCAGGAUCCAAGAUCAAGAGGGAAUCCCUACGUACAAGCAGAUGUUGGUCUUUGCCUCUCAGCAGCUCGAGGAUGGCCGUAAGUUGUCGGAUUACCAUAUCUGGAAGGAGUCAGUCCUUCGCGUCCACUUUUUACAGUGUCGAAUGCAAAUAUUUGUGAUAACACUCUCUGGUCAAACCAUUGCCUUAGAAGUUGACAGGUCAGACAUUGUUGAGGAUGUAAAGACAAAGAUUGAGAAGGAGGUAGGGCUCCCACCAGAGUUACAGAGAAUCACGUUUGCUGGUAAACCACUCGAGGAUGGUCGCACACUUGCAUAUUAUAACAUCCCAACGGAGUCAACAUUUGACCUUUCUUUAAAUCUCACAUAAAAUAGAUUUUAUCUAUUCGUUUUUGUUUUUUGUUUUUCUUAUCUUGUUUUUGGGUUUUAUAUCAAACUUUUUUCAACUUUUUUCUUAUGGACAUGAAACUUGAUCGGAUAUUUGAACUCUGAGAUGCCUUUCACUAAUAUGAUGAUGAUCACCUAUUCAAGAGUGAUUAAAAUACAAAAGUAUAAAGACCCAGACACCCCUUUGGUAGGGGAAUCAACCUAGGGAUAUGAGGAGCCUACAACUCCAGCGACAAGGGCCAUUGAAUCGCGAAGCACGGCAGAGAUGAUGAACUGCACGACCAUUCCUGGAUCUUGCCUUUGCUGUUACUACGGUGGUGGUUCAAAUGUGUUCUUCAAAGACAGAAUCUUGCCUUCUUAUGCCUUUACUGUUUUGUUCUUUGUACAGUUUUCGCCAAUUCUCCACCAACAUCUCCCUCACGCACACUGGAGAUUGUAAUUUUUGCAAGAUGACCUGUAUUUAUUUAUUCAAAACAAAAUUUUAUGAUUAAUUGGGCCAUAAACUAUCUUCUAAAUCAAGGACGUUGGCUCUUCAUUCCAUAUUUUCUACAAUAAUAUAUACUUAUCAGUCACAAAAAUUGACCAUUUACAGGAACCAUAUUCUCCAAAUCAAUGUAUAGAAUUAGGAAAUAUAUUAUUUGUAACACUAUUGUAGUAUUGUGACAAUAAUAAGUUGUGACUUACUGUGCAUAUUAUGUAACUUGUAAACCAAAUUAACACACAAGUUCAUUUCUUUAAGAAUAUGUAUAAACUUCAAAUGACGUUGCUUUAAAUUCUUGAUUGAAUGCCAUCGCUUUAAUUUUUCUUUUGAUCUAAACAUAUAUCCGGUAUAAAGACGAAAUCUAUGUUCAAGAAUAAAACUACCAACUUAAUCCACUGAAAACGCUCUAGCGAUGUUGAUUUUGAAUAUAUGCUAGUGUUGACUAAAAACACCAGUGAAAACGCUCACAAACAGUUUCAUUCGGGUAUUAUAAAAGCCAGAUCACGUACGAGACAGUCUUCCCGAGUCGGGGUAGGUUUUGGUUCUGAUGUUUUAUGAAGAGGAUAGUAACUGGUUAUCUGUUGUAUCUGAUGGGGUUUGGAUAUUUGAAACCAAAGUAACUACUCUUUUCUUAUGUGUUAGUACGUAUAAAGUUGGGCAUUCUAGAUUUGUAUAUUGUUUGCAUUAUGGAAUUGCAUAUAUUAGCUAAAGAAUUACCGAAAAAUCAGGUUUACAUGAGUUUCAUAACGUCCACAAAGAAUAGAAUAGAUUUCGUCUUUUAUGAAGAGCAACUUUUAUGAGAUUUAUCUUCCGGCUUUGUAGUAUAAUAACUAAAAAUAUUGCUGAAACAAUAAUUUUAUUACUCUUGUUAAUAAAAUAGUUUAUGUGAUACGCAAUAACAUAUUUUCAUUUGUUAUAUACUAAAUCUAAAUAUCCCUUUUCUUCUUUUUGAUCAAAUAAUUCAUAAAUUUUUUUCAAUAAUUAAUUCUAAACAUUAUCUAACUAAUAUUUAUAUUUUAUUAACCGUUGAUAAGGAUGUUCUGAGGCUAAACCUAUUUAAGAAGACUACCCUUCAUUAUAAAUCAUGAUCUCUUUUAAACUUAUAAACGUAAACCCAAACAGUUGUGCAAGACUUUCAUAAUUCUUAAAAGGUAUGUUGUUUCUUCAACUUUUUUAACCAUAUAUUGAUUGUUUUAUGCCCUUAAACUAGAUAUUUUCUUCUUAGAUAAAGAUUCAUUAGGAUCUGUAGAAACUUUUGUAUGAUAUGUGUGUGCUAACAAGAAUUGCAUACUUUUUUUUUCAGAUGAUGAUGCAAAUCUUUGUUAGGUUUGUUUCAGGCAAGAGCAUAACCCUUUUGGUCCAAAGGUCAGACACCAUUGACAACGUCAAGGCAAUGAUAGAAGAUAAGGAAGGAGUCCCUGCUGACCAGCAGAGACUUAUCUUUGUCGGAAAUCAGAUGGAGGAUCACCGUACCUUGGCUGAUUACAAUAUCCAAAAAGACUCAAGUCUCCACUUGGUUCUCAGGUUGAGCGGAACUAUCCGAAUCUUCGUAAAGACUCUUACAGGAAAGACAUUACUCUUUACUUUCAAAUCUCAGACACCAUUGGCAACGUUAAGGCAAGGAUACAAUAUAAACUUCGUAUCCCUAGCGACAAGCAGACGCUUAUGUUUUCCGGAAAUCAGAUGGAGGAUCACCGUACCUUGGCUCGUUACAAUAUCCAAAAAGACUCAAUUAUCUAUUUGGCUCUUGGGCCGGCAAGAUUUAUGCGAAUCUAUGUAAAGACUCUUAUAGGCAUAACCAUAACUCUUAACGUCCGAAGCUCGGACACCAUUGGCAACGUCAAAUCAAGGAUACAAUUUAAGGAAGGAAUCCCUAGCGACAAGCAGAGGCUUAUCUUUGGCGGCAAACAGAUGGAGGAUCACCGUACCGUGGCUGAUUACAAUAUCCUAAAAGAUUCAACUAUACACUUGGUUCUUAGGUUGGGAGGAUUUAUGAAAAUCUUUGUUAAGUUCCUUGCAGGCAAGACCAUAGCCCUUAUGGUUCAAAGCUCAUGCACCAUUGACAGUGUCAAGACAAUGAUACAACGUAAGGAAGGAUUUCCUACCGACCAGCAGUGUCUUCUCCUUGCCGGAUAUCAGAUCGAAGAUGACAGCACCUUGGCUGAUUACAAUAUCCAGCAAGACUCAACUCUCCACUGUGUUCUCAAGUUGGGUGGAAGUAUGCGUAUCUUCAUAAAGACUCUUAGGGACAAGAUCAUAUCCCUUGAUGAGGUCAAAAGCUUAGACACCAUUGAAAGCGUCAAAGCCAGGAUCCAAUAUAAAGAGGGAAUCCCUAAGCACACGCAGAUGUUGAGCUUUGCUGGUAAAGACCUGGAGGAUGGCCGUUGCUUGGCGGAUUACAACAUCUGGAAGGAGUCGACCCUUCAUCUCCGUUAUUUAGGUGAUGGAAUGCAAAUAUUUGUGAAAACGCUCUCUGGUAAAACCAUUACCUUAGCAGUUGACAGCUCAGACAUUGUUGAGAAUGUGAAGGCAAAGAUUCAAGAAAAGGAUGGGCUCCCACCAAACCGACAGAUAAUCACGUAUGCUGGUAAACUACUCGAGGAUGGUCGCACGCUUGCAUAUUAUAACAUCCAAAAGGAGUCAACACUUGAACUUUUUUGUAAAUUUCACAUAAAAUAGACUUUAUCUAUUCGUUUUUCCUUUUUGUUUUGUUUUUCUUUUCUUGUUUUUGGGUUUUAUAUUAAACUUUUUUCUUAUGGACAUGAAACUUGAUCGGAUAUUUGAACUCUGAUAUGUCUUUCACUGAUCUGAUGAUCACCUAUUCAAGAGUGAUUUAAAACACAAAGUAGAAAGACCUAGAUACCCCCUUGGUAGGGGAAUCAUCCUCGGGAUAUGAGGAGCCUACAACUCCAGCGACAAGGGCCAUUGAAUUGCCAAGCACAGCAGAGAUGAUGAACUGCACGACCAUUCCUGGACCUUGCCUUUGCUGUUACUACGGUGGUAGUUCAAAUGUGUUCUUCUUAUGCCUUUACCGUUUCGUUCUUUGUAAAGGGUUCGCCAAUUCUCCACCAAUAUCUCCCUCAUGAACACUACCUUGAGAUUAUACUUUUUGCAAGAUGACAUGUAUUUAUUUAUUUAUAUGCAAAAUCAAAGUUUAAUGAUUAAUUGGGCCAUAAGCCAUGUUCUUAAUCAAGGACCUUGGCUCUUCAGUCUAUUUUUUUUUACACUAUUAUAUACUCAUCAGUCACAAUAAUUACAAUUUAUAGGAACCAUAUUCUCCAAAUUAAUGAUUAGAAUUAGGAAAUAUGUUCAUGUGUAACACUAUUGUAGUUUUCUGACAAAUAAUAAGUUGUUACUUAGAGUGCACGUUAUGAUAUUGCUUUAAAUUCUUGAUUGAUUGCCAUCGCUUUGAUAUUUCUUUUGAUCUAAAACAUAUAUCCGGUACAAAGACGAAAUCCAUGUUCAAAAAUAAAACUACCAACUUAAUCCAGUAAAACGCUCUAGCGAUUGUUACAUAUGCUAGUGUUGACUAAAAACACCAGUGAAAACGCUCGCAAAAAAUAGUCUCAUUCGGAUAUUAUAAAAUACUAGAUCGGAUCGCGUACGAGUCAGUUCUCCCAGCUCCGGGUGGAUUUGAUCUGAUGUUUAUGAACAGGAAAGUAAAUGGUUAUCGGUUGAUUCCUAUGGAGUUUGGAUAUUUUAAACCAAAGUAACCAAAUUACUCUUUUCUUACGUGUUAGUACGUAUAAAAUACCAUUUCUAAACGUGUUUACACAUGCAAACUUUUUCAAUAAUUUUUUUUCACUUUUCACAGUAAGAUGCAAAUAUGAAAAACUAUUAAAAUAUAAAAUUUACGUUGGACUGAAAAAACAACUUCCGAACAAAAACAAUACUCCAAAUAAAUAAAUAAACAACAACGAAAAAAGCAACAACACAAAUUUGUAAACUUAUAAUAGACAAUCGCAAUAUCAUUUUCGAAUCACGACACCAGGCGACAUUGUUUUGCCCAUUCGAAGAGAGAACGAUAAGAAGACCCACCUUGAGCCCAAGCUCGCUCGGAGCUAGCCCUCACCUCCUCAGCUUUAGCCCUUACCUUCUGUCCUUCUUCAUCCUCUUCCACCAUAAUCUUUCUCACCAAAGUCGCCACUUCUUCUCGGCCAAUCACUCUCUUUGAUGGUAACUCCGACGUACGAACGGCCACACCGAUGUCCUCCGUUAGCAACGUGGCAUUCAUCCAUUGCUCCGCAUAAAGAGGCCAAGCCACGAUUGGAACUCCUUUAGUCAAGCUCUCUAACACGGAGCUCCACCCACAAUGAGACAAGAACCCACCGAUCGAUCCAUGGCUCAAAAUCUCAACUUGCGGUGCCCAUUGCGUGACAACAAGACCCAUACCACGCGUGCGGUCCAAGAAACCUUCUGGUAGACCGGCACUUACCUGAUCAUCAUCAGUCGAGCUCGCCCCAAGGUAAGAAGUGGGCCUACGCAGAACCCAUAGAAACCUUUGACCACUUAAAUCUAAACCGUAAGCGAGUUCCAUAGUUUGCUCUAAGGACAGUGUACCACCACUUCCUAAACACACAAACACCACUGACUUAUCCGGUUGCUUGUCCAACCACUCAAGUAUGUUAUCGGCCUUUUCAGUAGGCCCACUAGACCUAACAAUAGGCCCAAUACCAUAAACCGGUGCUUUCAUAACCCGGCUCAAUUCUCCAUCCUCCGUAAGGGCAGAUAGUGUGUUUCCUUGUAACUCCUCCCAAGUAUUUACCAAAACGCCAUGGCUCAUAGGUAUCUCCAUGCAACACCGCAUACACUCUCGGUACUGUGGGUUUGACCGGUCUAACAUUGUUUCCAUAAGCUCGUCCGGUCCAACCGGUCUACAACCUGGUAUUUUCAUAGGCUCUUUGAUAUCAGUAUAUUCCCCUUCCACGACUCUAUCCAAUACCGGCGUGUACACUACUACAGCCAAGAACCACGCGUGGGAAGGGACGUACACGUACGUAGCGUUCACGCCAAUAUCAUCAGCAAUGGACAUCAGGCCGGUACCAAAAAUGUCUACGAUCAUGACCGUCGGUUUCCGAUUCAUUGAUUUCACGGCGUCUUGAACCGCCGUCUUUGUCUUUGUUGCUCGCAUCAUCUCUAUGAUUUUUGUAGGUACCGUCGCAUCUGGGGAGUGGUCUAUAUCAAUUGAGGGUAGUUCCCUAACUUCGCAUGUCCCUCUCGCCACGGCUGCACGUAUGGCCUCUGUUUCUAUUGGGGAGGAACCGGAGGUUACGGCGAGAAUGGUGACGUGAAUCUUGAGGACGGAGGAGAGACGGUUGCCUAGUUCGAGGAUAGGGAUGAGGUGGCCUAAGCCAGGGCUAGCGACUAGAACCGCGUGAGGCUGGUCCAUGAUCUAUUCAUGAGAAGGAUGUGUUAACAUGAUUGUGAAUCGAGAGACGGUUAAGUAAAUAAAAUGGUAUUAUUACGUGAGAUCCUCCAUCACUCACCUGUCCUUGUAUAAGAAGUUGUUCCUUGCUUAGUUGCUUGUCAAUGGCUGUGUAUGAACUGGGAUAAGACCAUGCUAUAUAUAAAGGGUCAUUUUUAACAAAUAAAAAGGGACAUUUAGACCAAAAAAAAUAAAAAGGGACAUUUUACAGAGAGAGUAUUUAUUAUUAUUGCUUUUGAAGGGAUGAAUAUCUAGAAUAAUUAUUUUUUAAAUCGUAAUUGCUAUACUAUCUUUUUAAAAAACGUGGAUUGUUUUCCAUAGGGGUCACUGACAAGUGCAUGCAUGUAAGUGUUACACGUAAGACCAAAAGUUUUGUUAAAGAGACCUAGCAAUAACGAGAUUUCAAUCUUUUGUACUGAAGCUAAAGUUCCGAUCGAACGAUAAAAAUAGUUCUGCAUAUCAAACAAAUCAAGAAUAAGCGGAACAAAAACAUAUCAAACGAAUUAUGCAAAAGAACUGCAGAUCAAACAGAUCAUAUAUCAAACGGACUAAACUGUUAUUAUAAUUUUGAAUGAUAAAAAUAGUUCAAAUAAAAUAAAUUAUAUUUUUAAAUAAUAAAAUUUACAAUAAAAUAUAUCACAACACAUAAUAUAGUAUAUAAUACAUAAACAACAAUAAAUCUUGAACUAAAACCAUGUUACUGUAAUUUUAAAAUCAAUAUAUGAAAAUGUUAAAAUUUAAUGAAAAAUAUAUAUAUUUCUUUCAGUAGUAUACAUAUUUAAAUUAUAUUAAUAUAUUUUGCUAAUACAUAUAAUAAUUAAGUACACAUUAUAAAAAUAUAAUAAUUUAAAUAAAUGUAAAAUUAUAUAACAAAAAUAGAAAGAUAAAUAUAUAAAUCAAUGAUAUUUUUAUAUUGUUAAAAUUGUAAGUAAAAUAGAAUAAAAUUAUUGUAUUUAUAAAAAUAGAUAAAUGCAUUUAUUUUAUUUAUAAAAAUAGAUAAAUGCAUUUAAAAUUAAAUAUUUGUAGAUCUCCCACAAGCAACACCAAAUAUAUAAUGGAUGAGAUUUGCAUGCAGAUUUCAUGCUUUUUUAGAAAAGAACAAAAUAAUUGAACUAUAUAUAAAUUUUUGUUUUGGACUAAAUGUAGAUUUUUUGCUAUCUACAAUGUAAAACCUUAAAUGGUAUAAUUAAUAGAAUGAUGAAUGCAGUGUGGAAAAAUUGCAUGUUCAAAUGAUCUGCUCUUCUCCUGCUACAAGCCUACGCCAUUCGAAGAACGUCCCGAUAUUUCUCAGAUUUGUUCACAUUAAGAAGAAUAAAUUGCUGAUCCCGAUGUUUCUCAGAAUUGUCCAAGUUAAGAACACUACAAGAAAACAUCGGGAUACUGAGGGAAAAAAUCGUCGGUAUGUCGUCGGAAUAACGCUAUUCCGAGGACAUACCGACGAAACAAGUCCUCGGAAACAUCUCCUCGGAAUUUUGUUUCCUCGGAAUUCCGUCGGAAAAUACCGAGGGAAUUCCGAUGGUCCAAUCCUCGGAAGUUUCGACGAAAUAUUCCUCGGAAUGUUUAUCGGAAAAUACCGAGGAACAAAUGUUCCUCGGACUUUUCCGAGGAACUUUCUUCCCUCGGAAAAUUCCGAGGGAGUGGAGUUUCUCGGAAAAUUCCGAGGAACUUUUUCCCUCGGAAAAUUCCGAGGAACUUAAAGUUCGUCGGAAUUUGCCGAGGGGAGAAAGUUCCUCGGAAUCUUCCGAGGAACUCCAUUCCCUCGGAAUUUUGAAAAAAUUUAUUUUUUUUUUAAAAUUUAUUUUUUUUUAAAAUUAAUUUUAUUUUUAAAAAUUAAAAUUUUUAAAAUUUAAAAUUAAAAUUAAAUAAAACAUAAAAUAAAACAUAGUAGAUAAUAUUCAAAUUUAAAUAAAACAUUCAGAGUUUUUGGAAAAAAAAAAAACCACGGGUCUUGAAUGUUCGGAAACGUCUCGUUCGGGUACAUCCUCUUCAUCAUCACCAUCAUCUGCUCGUUCAGCCUCUUCUGGGUCUCAUAGCCCGCCUGUUGAGCUGCCAUCUGGGUCUCCAACGCAGAUAUCCGAUCAUCCUUGUCCUUCAGCUGAGCCGUAAGAACUUCUGGAUCAACAUACGCAUGUGGUGCAGAAGAAGGAGCAGCCGACCGGGAGCGACGACCCAAACCGACCAAACGUCCCUUUUUCUUUGGAACCGACUGAAAUAUAAAUAACCAAGUUUAGAUAAUUUAAAUUGAUGAUAAAAUAAAAAUCAAGAAAUAAUUAAAUUGAACUUUUUAAAAAAAAAAACUUACCGAUUCAACGAUUUCGUUGAUUCGAACCCGAGACAAGUUGGUCGAGGCCGUCGAAUCGUCAUCAUCGGUUUGAAGCUGAGACACUUCGUCAUACAUCUGAGUUUGGACCAGGUCGACCACGUCCCUCACAAGACCAUCAUCAAUCUGGCCGGUCUUCUUGUUGGUAUACGCCCUUUUCAUAAGGGCGAGAUCAUCAACUGGGUGGCCUUCAUUUUCUUCCGCCUUGAAAAAAAAUAAAUUAGACAAACAUUAGAAAUUUGAAAAUGCAAAAAAAAAAAAAUUCUGAAACUUAAAUAAUUGAAGAAAAAGCGGUUGAGCUUACCAUGCGAUCCGCCAGAGUGGCAAUAGAUUGAGCACCCAAGUUAUGCUUGUAGAUGCCCUUUCCUUUACGGUCGCUCCUGCGGUUGUUGGAGUUGGUGGAAGAAGUUUCUUUCGUCUCUUCUUUAUCCCAAUGCGCACACAACUCCUUCCAGAC
This 81581-nucleotide long non-coding RNA is filed under the name Brassica rapa (field mustard). Its description in RNAcentral is "long non-coding RNA (BRAP_LNC004560)". The stretch from base 40016 to 40088 matches the Rfam family "tRNA". Lineage: Eukaryota; Viridiplantae; Streptophyta; Magnoliopsida; Brassicales; Brassicaceae. The record is from RNAcentral.